UAUUAAAGGAUUAAUAGUUAAUAAUUGAGAUUCCAAAUUGGAAAGCUUAUUGUUUCAUUUUCUCAGCUAAGGGGUUGUUUGGCUUUUAGAAAAAGUUUGAAAAAAAGUGUAACACGCCUACAAUCUCACAUCGAACGGAAAAGAAAUUGUGAUUGAAAAUAUAAGAGAUUGCACAUCUUAAUAAUAAUAACUUGAUUUAAAUAUUUUGGGUCGGUGGUUUGAGUCCAACAAAUUAUUAUUUUUAUCUGAUCGGAUUGUUACAAUUAGUAUUAAAACCAAAUACCAACUAAAAGUGUGAGAACUAAAUACUAUACGGGAUAAAAUACUACACCAUAAAUUUGGCGGGAACCAACUCCUGAAACUUACAGGAGCCGCUUUUAAAAUCUCACAUCCCAUUAAACCUGCAUGAGUCAUAUCUAAAAUCUCAUAUCUCACUAGACCCGCAGAAGUUAUUUCUAGAAUCUUACAUCACCUGUAAUCAGGUUUAAACCAGAUGUGCAUGAGUCACGUUUAAAAUCUCACAUCCUACCAAACUCGUAGUAGCUAGAAACCACCUCUAAAAUGUCACAUCUUGAGUUUAGACUUAACGAAAAAGUCCCACAUCAGAUCCUCGCCAGGUUCUAAACUGGAGUCCCAAAAUGAAAAAAUCCCACAUUAUUACUUUUAUUACUUUUGUUUUCUACUUUUUUUUUUUUUGGAUAACAAAAAUACUUUUUUUAAAAAAAAUCUAUUUUUUUAAAAAAUAAUAUUUUUUUUAAAAAAUCAAACAGUAAAAUUUUUUGAAAAAAAUUCUCUGGUUUUUUAGAAAUUUUCGCACUACAACAUAAUUAGAUUGUAGGGACACAUGUUUUGGACACUUUUGUGUAGUGUUCCAUUUAUAUCAAAAUUUUUUAAAAAAUCUACUAAUGUCUAAAUAUAAAAUUCAAUCCAACGUUACUCUACUCAAUUCACCCCACCCAGCCCAUUCGGCCCGAUUACAAACAGAAAAGUGAAAACAAAGAAAAAUCGAUUACUAUCUCUCUUCUCUCCUCACUCAAUCCACUGAAAUUUUAGACGAAAAGCCCUUCCCUCUCAUCCUCCUCCGUCACCGCAGCCAACGAGAUAGAGUUUCAACGGUUGCUAAAUGUUUAAAUAGGUGCUGGUAAAUUAGCAGCACUCUUUUUAGAUUAUAUCGAUACUUUUUUACUGUCACUAUAUACCUAGCGACCCCACAUAUAGCAAUAUUUUUUAAAAGUGUCCGUAAUUUAGCCAGCAGCUCUUUUUUUAACCUGCACCGAUAUUUAAAGAUGUCGCUAUACAUCAUUUUUAUUGAAGUGUCGUUUUAUGCUUUUUCUAUGAACCAAAAAGCCCUAAAUUACAUCAGCAUGUCCAUAAUUUGUUUCGUUCCUAUCAAAAUUGAUUUGUUAAUGUCGCUAUCUUUAUUAUCUAAAUUCAAUACUUAGUAAGCAAAUUUUGACAUCAACUACUAUGUUUGUUUUAACUUUUCUAUAUAAAUAAAACGUAUAUCGUACGUGUCACGUAAAUAUAUAUGCAUGACACAAAUAAAGUACAAUUUAUCUAACGCCGUUGUUUUUCCCGUCCAUGAUACGUUACCAAAACAAAGAAAAGAAUUAAAAUUUUAAAAAGCCGGCUAAAUUUUAUCCUUUUGAUUCUAAUUUGAAUUACUAACUUUAAUUUAAGCUAAUGAAAGAUAACGCACCAACUCAUUUGUAAUUUCAAUUUGAUUCCGCAUACUAAAUUUGAUGUUCAUUUGUUAAGGCCCUAGAAAAUUUAAAAUAAUCGAUUUACUACAAUAUAUAUAUAUAUAUAUAUAUACACUACGUACAAUAUAUACUACCUACAUAUGAGUAACAAAUGAAACAAAAAAGAGUUUAAUCAGAUCAUUAAAAUACAAAUAAGUAAUUUUUUUAUUGCCUUAAUUAUCUUUUAUUUAAUAGUAUUAUAUGAAAAAAAAAAAAAACUUUAGUUGUGAGCUAUUCAACGACAUCUUAUUGAGAAGCUUCUGAUAAGACAAAAUUAGUAACAGCAGAUUGAAGACUCCAUAAUAAGGUGUUGUUAGAGAGCUCCCUUCUGAAAUUUUUUCGUAUUCUAAAUAAUAUUUUUUAAUUAUCUUUUGAAUAAAAAAAAGAAAAUCAAUGAGAUUGUAAGAUGCAGUAUACCAAUGUAUACCAAUGGAGCGGACGCAUAAAUUUUUUAUUUUCAGAACAGUAAAAUGCACAAACAUUAUCAAAACUUUAAUCCAUUUGAAUUUUGUUUUUAUUUGAUUUGCACCCCUCUACUUUCUAGCAGUUUGAUCUAACUCCUUCCGAUAGCAACUUUAAAGAUUUUGUUAAAAUUAAAUGGUGACCUCAUCUUUUUACUAAAGCAAUUCUUGGUCACGUGCAUCUUUCAUGCACUUUUUUUAAUAGAAUCUCCAAAAUUGCUAAUGAAAGAAUUUAAAUCAAACAAUUAUUGAGUACAGGAGAUGUAAAUCAAGUAAAAAAUAAAAAUAAAAAUUAAGAGGUCAAUUUUAGAAUAAGUUAAAAGUUUAUAGCGUGCGUAUACGUUUUAACCAUUUCAUAACUAAUUAAACAACUAAAAUUAAAACCUAAAAGGUCAAAAGCUGUACACUAAAAUCAAAAUUUUUAAAGAUAAACGGAUAUAUUGCGUCUUUGGUUUUAAAACUAGGCAACGCAUGAAAUUUUAGUUCUCAAAUUUUAAUUAUUAUAAUUUCCGACUUGGUUUUAAAACUAAGUAUUAAUAUAUUUUAAUAAUAUAUUAAUACUUAGUUAUAAUAAUUUUAAAAAUUAAAAUAAAAAAAUAUAAUAAAUUAAAAUUUGAGAACAAAAUGCUAGUCUCAUAGUUUUAAGAACCAAGCAUGCAAUUUACCCAAAGGUAAUUGAUCACAAAGACUCUUCGUCAUUGUUGCUAGGCCGGCAAAUGGUUCGGCUCGAAUUCGGCUUGCUCGAGCUUGACUCGUAGUUAAAUGAGCUGAAUUUGAAUAUUAACAACGAGCUCGAAAUUAAUUUUAAGCUGAGCUUGAAUUAGACUAUAAAAGAUGAAAAAAAUAUAUAUAUACAUACUAAAAAUAUUUAUAUAAAUAUAUAUAAUAAAUAUUUAAAUUAUAUAUAUAAUUACAUAUAAUAUGUAUUUGAAUUGUAUGUCUAUAUAUUUUAAGACCAUUCGAUCAUUAUCGUCGCACAAUUUAGGCCGCCCUACAAGACCAAAAUAUUGUCACGCCACAUUUUCUAAGGAGAUAAAGCAAAUUUAAACUUCCAAUUUUCUCUCUCUCUCUCUCUCUCAAAAAGAAAGAUAUGAGAGUCUAAAAUGAAUACGCCAAUAACAGUGAAUAUUCGUUACAAAAUUAUAUAUAAUAAAUUAUAAAUUACUUUUCUUAAUAUUAUACUAUCAUAUUUUAUAUAUUUAUUUUGUAUGUUGAACUAUCACAUAUGUUUCUGUCAAGUUCUAAACAAUAUUUAGCAAAAAUUAAACUAUAAAUUAUAUAAUAUUAAAGAUUUCAAAUAACUUGUUUAGUACUUGAGAUUGCUCGACUCAGAGUUAGCGUCUUGUUCGAAUUAAUUUCAAGCCGAAUUUCGCCUAAUUUUAGACUCAAAAUUAAUUUCAUGCUCGAACUAAUUUUAAAGCCAAGCUUCGUCUAAUUUUAGCCUCAAAAUUAAUUUCAAGCUGAGCUUCGUCUAACUUUAGACUCAAAAUUAAUUUCAAACUUGUGCUGAGCUAAGGUCGCUCCAGAGAUUUUUUUUUAUAUUUAGCGUUCUUAAAAUAUUUCUUUACAAAUAGUUUUAAUAAAUUUAUAUUUGUAUAAAUAGUCUUUUUUUUUACCAUUCGAGUGUCUAAGUAGCGUUUUUAAGUUGAACACAGUGAUUGAAUCUUUAUAUUUUUUUUAAUAUUUUUUGUUGCUCCUAAGUUAAAAAAAAUAUUAUCCCCGAAUUAAAAAAAGGACUAAAAUGUGAAAAUAAAUACGGUGAUUUAAUCACCAUAUUUAAUUUAAAAUUACCAACGUAACACUCUUGUGACAUUGACAAGGAGCCAAAUAUCAAUUUGCUAGGGUAAUUUGUAAAUUUUUUUUUUUGAGGGUGCUAAAUAGAAAAAAGGCCCGUCGCUCGAGUUCAACAAGUCGCACCUCUCCGUGGUCGCGGUGGUGGUCGAGGGCAACAAUGGCCGCUUCCCUGCAACGGAGGGCGCCGCUUCUCCUCGUCCGCGCCCUCUCCUCCCCUGUGCGAUCGCUCUCUUCGGGCGCCGCCCUCGUCGAUCCCAGCUCCGGCGAGGUCGGGAUCGUCUCCGGGAUCCCCCACGAACACCUCCGCCGAAAGGUGCGAUCCCCUUCUCCCUCGAAUCAUUUAGGGUUUUGAUGUUGCGAUUUGGGGAGUUUCGAUACCCGUUUGUCGUUGAUCUUAGUAGAUUUGCGAUAUGAGUACACUGAGGACGCAAACGAUGUGGUUUAGUAGUGUAGAGAUCGACUCGGGUUUCCAUUUGCGGCGGCGACGAGGUUUGGUCUGCGAGUUGUUUGGGCUUCUGUUUAGCUUAUUUAUGAUUUGAUUCAAUACUAAUGUAAAAAACUGGGAGGAAUUUAGUGCUAUGGUAAAUAAGAAAAUGUUAUCAAAUGUAAAUUUAACUCAUUUGUUAAGAAACUAGCUUGCAUUAUUCUUUUGGGAUGUAGAUUUGAAGUUUGUGGGGGCAUCUACUUCCUUAGAGGGUGCUUGGUUUCUCGGAAAACUCUGGAAAAUUGUUUUCCUGGGAGAAAAAAAAGUUUUCCAUGGAAAACACCAUUUUUCAGAGUUUUUGUUUUCCGGAUAAAAAAAAUCCGGAAAAUGAAAAGGUAAGUUUUUCAUGAAAUCCGAAAAAAGUUUUCUUGGAAAUCUGUUUUUCCUGUGAAUAAAAUAAACGGAAAAGUAUUUUCCAGCCAGAAACUAUUUUUCAGGAUUUUUUUUCCAGGGAACCAAACUUAAUGGUUUGUUUAGGUAAUGCCAUUUCUAUGUAGGGAGAUGUUAAGUGCAUCUUGUAUCUACAUUCAAAAUGAUUUCUAAGAUUCAUUUAUUUGGUAACAAUUGGCUUCAAAGAUGCAACAUGCCUACUUUUUCAUGCCUUUACUUUUUCAUAGGGCGAAUUGAUUUAGUUCUUUAUCCUCUCUUCUACUGUCAUUUUUUUUUUCUUUGUUUUUUUUUUUGUUAGAAUGCUUUUUGUCGUACUCAUUCGCACGUGGCUGUAGGUCAUGAUCUAUUCACCGGCUAGGACAGCAACUCAGCAAGGUUCUGGGAAAGUUGGAAGGUGGAAAAUCAAUUUUAUGUCAACGCUAAAGUAUGUGCCCUGUUCUUCAUGUUGAUUGCUUUUAACACUCUUUUAAGGGACUAGUGGAAUGUUCUCAUCAAACCAAUGUAUUGAAACUGCUAGCAAACAUUAUGCUUUCUAAACUAAAUAUAAUUUUUCCAAAUGAUUUGCUAAUUAGUAAUCUCAUUAGUUAACUUGCAUUGGGAGGUGCUUGGUUGUCAAUUUUGCAAAUGAUCUAAUUCUGCAAGUUGUGGGCGAUCAUAUGUCAUUGCACUGUCAGAUUGGACCUAUGAAAUACCUUUUGUUAAGUUCGGUUAUGUAGAAGGCAAGCUGUUGGAUAAUGUGAGUUGAAUUGUGUCGGCAAUCUACUGUAAAUAUUCUCCUCAUUUCAAAUGUAUAAAUUGAAUCUGACAAAGAAAUAAUCGAUAAUUCUCUCAUCUGUUUGAUGCUUGUUUUUCCUGAUUUGUCUUUCUUUCUUGAAAGUACAUUCAGAAUGUCAUGAUGACCAUACUUUGUACAAUUAGUGUUUCAUAUUAACACCUCAGUGCAAUGCAGGUGGGAGAAUCCAUUGAUGGGUUGGACAUCCACUGGGGAUCCGUAUGCUAAUGUAGGUGAUGCAGGGCUGAGUUUUGAUAGUGAAGAAGCUGCAAAAUCGUUUGCUGAAAAGCAUGGAUGGGAUUUUGUGGUGUGUAUAGCUUUCCUCUUUGUUUAUUUUAAUUUUUUUGAUUAGGUGAUUUAUUUAUGCAAUUAUGCAUUUGAGAAUAAAAUUGAUUGGACUAGGAAACUUUCUAGUGCUGCAUGCUAGUUUAAUGCGCAUUGUCGUAUAGUGGUGGCCUAGCAUUUGUUUGGCCUGGCUUUGGCGACAAUUUUCUACUUCAAAAAGCAUUUAGGUGUUUUGCAAAGAAAUGCUAUGGAGCUUUGUGUGGUGGAAGCUGAAAUGAGCUUCUGGCCUAGAAAAGUAGAGAGGCUCUUGUGUGUUGCUUCUGCUUUUGGGGAAGCUGCUGGGAGGAUGUAUUAGAAAAAGCAGUUAGUGCUUCUUCAAAUUUGACAGUCCUAUCUUAGAACAAAUUGGCCCUUUUCUGAAGCUGCCAUGAGCUUUUUGCACCAGUACUUUUCAUUGCAUUCACAGCACAUGAAAUGAUAGUUUCUUCUUCUGAGAUCCUUACUUUUGAUCUUGAACUGAACAAGCCUUUUGUUACAAGAACCAUAGUGUUGUACUCUCUUCAGGUAUUCUCAUGUAUUCUACUUAUGCUGUAUUUGACAGUCUUUUGCUUUCAUCCCGGGGUGCACAAUAUGCCCUGGAAGUGUAUUUUCUUCUGUCAGAAGUUGUUAUAGCAAAUACUUGACAUCAUCUUAUCUUGGCAUUAGAAACUUCUUGCAAAAAAUGAAACUGCUUCACAGUAGGUUGGUACUCCUGUGGUUUUAGCAUCUUAUUUGACACAGAAAGGUUGAUGUACUGUUAGCUUGUAUUCCAGGACCAGAGGAGUAGAAUGAGCCAUAUAGAGAUUCAAAAUUUUUGUAAUGUAUGUUGUUUGCACAAUUUCAUGAAAAUUUUGCAGCUUUUCUAUGAAGAUGUUGUUGAAUCUUUGCAAAACUGUUAUUCUGUUAAUUUGGGGUGAUUGGUCCAGCUAAUUACUUAUUUACAUACCUAAACAUUGAAUUUAAUACGAUAUGUAGAAAAAAGAGAUUUUGUUGGAAACUUGGAAACUUGAUCAACCACCUAAACCCCCACAACCUAAAUCCCAAGUGUGUAAUUCAAAACUGUUUGACUCUAUUCAUAGUCAAACUGCAGUUUGGUCUUGCUGGCUAUAGUUUCCAGACUUCUAGAUUUUAAACUUCAGAGAUAUCGUUGACUUGAAUUGAAUUUUAGGGAAUUUUCCGAGCUGAUUGAGCUCAACUUUUAAGUCUUAGGCGCAUCUGUGUUGAUACCUGUCUUGAAUUGCAAACCUGUCAGGUCAACUGGGUUUUGAUUCAACUCGGCGACCUUUUAAGCUAUGUUUUAGUUGCAAUGUGCAACCUAAAAUGAGCUUUUCUAGGUGAUGAAACUUGCUUUUCUCUACUUGUGUUGCUGACUUGCUUCCAUGUCUCUUAUUACCUCUAAUAUUUGAUUUGAAUAUUAUGGGAGGCAUUUGGCUUAUAUUAUGUUAGCAGCAGUCACAUGAUUUAUCUCUAUAAAUGCGGUUGUGAUCCUUAGAGAAUCAAGAGUGUAUAGAGUGUCACCCUGUGCUUUGUGCUGUUAUUAGAACUAUUAUGCAGUUUAGAUCUUUUAUACUUCUCACUGUAAAGUUAGUACCAAAGCAUCCUUAUCUAUGCCUCGACAUUUGCGCAGGUCAGGAAGCGCCAUACUCCCCUUUUGAAGGUUUGUAGUUCUUCCUCUAGAAUAUUGUGUUUGUGAGUUAUUAUUUGCCAUCAAUUUAGAAGAUCAAAUUUGUUGAAAACUACUGAAAUUAGUCUUCAUUCUCUGGGUUGGACUUUCGUUCACAUUGCUUCUAUGUCAAGUCAACUGUUCUCAAUCUCUUAACCAAUGCUGGUUCUUCUGAUUUCAUUUCUCGGCAUUAAAUUUUUAUUUUUAUAAUAAGAAACUGUAGAGAGGCUUAAGAAAAAUUCUUGUUACAAGGAUCAUGAUAGCGAUAUAAAUACAUAAUAAUGUCCACAUGUAAAUGAAAAGAGCCUGAAAAUUUUUGUUUGUUUUCCUUCAUUCAACAUUGCGAAUGAAGAGAAUAACAUCUUUGUUAUCUUAACUUUUACCACUGCAAGCAUCAGAAUUUCACUAGCUUUUAAGUUUGAUAAAGCCUUCCUAGCUAUCUAUCUGUUUGUAUCUUCUUCUGAAUCUUUCUUAUACUGCAGGUGAAAGCCUAUGCAGACAAUUUCAAGUGGAAGGGCCCCCCAAAGAUAGAGGAAGAUUAGAUCCUCUCUCUUUCUGUUGUUUCGGUGCACAGCGAUGUCGUUGUGCUUUAUGUUUUUCCUGCAUUACGAUCCCUUUUGAUAUCCCUGGCAAUUCAAAUUCCCAUUUGCCAUCAAUAAAAAUUACUAAAGUGUUUCUUUUGUAUGCUCCUUCUCCGCGCCGUAGUCAUUUGAGGGUUUUGCAUCUCCUCGCUGCUGUUUCCUGUUUAGCCAUAUGAACAUAUUCCAGCUGAUAAGAUGGAGGCAGAUUUUUUUGUCUUCUGAGAAAAUCUUCUCUGUAAAAAUUUCUUUUACGAUAAUUGCGUCUUUGCAAUCUUCAAAUUACUAAGAUUUUAUUUGAUUUUUUCUAACAUCAUUAUCUGAUUGGCCUGUUACCUUCCUAGGUGGUGCCUCUAUUAAGGAAAGGAUCACACUUGCUCUCUACAGUAUGCAUUUUUGUGCUUAUAACUGGAGUUUCCAAUGACCCCGAUGGAAAUGUUCUUGUUUUAUGCCUGGAUUGUCAUCCUUUUUAAUUUUUUUUGAAGGAUAAACUUCAAUUUACCCUUAUAUGGUUUAGUUCAUUAUCACUUUAUCAUCUUGUGGUUUAAAAAAUUAUAUUUAAUUAUCUUGUGAUUUUAUCUCUAUUUUUUAUUAAAAAUUUACUAUCAAAUAGGAUAGUAAAGUGAAAUUUUUUGAUAAUCACAAAUUAAUUAAAGUGUAUUUUUUUAAAACCAUGGGAUGAUAAAAUGAAAGUGUUAAACCAUAGGGCAGUUAAGUGUAAUCUUUUAAGCCACGUGAUGGCAAAGUGAAAAUAAGUUAAACCGCGAGAUUUUUUAUUAAUUCUUUUCAGUAGAGUUAUUCAAACCAAUGAAGUUAGGAUCUUUUCAAUCAAAUAUAACAGUAAUUCCUUUAAACUGUAGUCAUGAUUGUGUUUUGCGGACAAAUUACCGUUAAAGUUAUUAAAUUUAACAAAAUUUUUAGUUUAACCGAUUGAGGAAUUUUUACAAAAAUCAAAAUUUGGCAGAUUAAUAAAAUAAAAGUUAGAGGCUAUUUGAAAUAAGUUUUCAGACUCACAAGGCCUUUGGAUUGAGUUCUUCUGCACUGGCUUUAAUUUUGAUAGAAACAAAGCAAUUUAAGACUGUAUUAACUACUCUGCCGAGUUAAAAGAUAAGCAAUAGUUAUUAUUAUCUUCUUAUGGAGCCUUUUCUUCUUUUUGUUCUUUUGUUCUUUUUUUUGUUCCAUAAGAUUUCUCUACGUCUCUUACCCUAUAAAUAUUCUUUUCACUGAAUUAGCUAAGAAAUCGAACUCGAAUCUUCUUUUGUUUUAUUUAUUCAUGCAUAUACGGAAUUUCGAACGCCUGACCUGUUAUGCGGUCGUUUUAAAUAACAAUCACUCAACUAUGCAUUGAUUGUUUCUUUUAACAUGGCCAAUGAGAAUUGAGAAGAGUCCAUUGCAAUGUUCAUGAGGGCAUUCAAUGGGGCUUUACCCCAAUCCCCUCUUAGGUUGUGGAUAUUUGAUAUUUCUGUUGGUGUGUCCUUUUUCUUGUCCUUUUUCCCUUGUGCAUCAAGCUUUAGCUUUCCCUUGGACUCUGCCACCCUAGGAAUGAAAGAAUCUCAACUUCAAUAGAUUUUCUACUUCUUUUUUUACUUUUUUUCUUGUUUGAGCUGAACUGAGUUUUUUUUUUUUUUUUUUUUUUUUUUUUUUUUUUUUUUUUUUUUUGUUUUUUUGGGUAAACUUCAAAUUUAUUUGUGGUUUCGCACUUUCUUAUUUUUAGUACCCUAUAGUUUAAAAUAUAUUAAUUUAGUAAUAUGUGAUUUUAUUUUAUUUUUUUUCGUCAGCUCCUCUGUUGACAUUUCGUUAAAUUAUAUAUAAAAAACUUCAGAUACCCCACUUAGAUUUAUGGAAUAUUCAUUUCAGUACAUUUUAGUUUUAACUUUGUCAUUGAUUUAACAAAAAAAAAUUAAUAUAGAGGAUAAUAAAAAGAGAAAAAUGAAACGAAAGGAUACCAAAUUGAUAUACUUUAAAUCAUAGGAUACUAAAAUUUAAAAGUGUGAAACUAUAGAGAUGGUAUUUGAAGUUUUUCCUUCUUUUUUUUAACUUCUCUUUUAAUAUAGCGACCGGCCCUAGCGCAAGUGACAAAAAGACUUGAUGGUUGGUAUUCGAGAUUCCAAAUUCAAAAAUUCUAGUUGAUUUAUAUUUUCAGCUUAUUCAUUCUAAAAAAUAAAUAAAACGGAUAGCAUACUAUCUUUUUCUUAAGAAAAAAAAACUUCUCUUUUAGAAUGAAUAAAAAGAAUGGCAGAAAGGUUUUUUUCAAAUAAAUUUUAAAAAAAAUAUAAUAAUUUGUUAAAUAAAAAUAUCAAAAUUUUAUUGAUCAAAUAAUCUUAUUUUGUCGAACUCAACGAGCAAUUAGAAAACGGGUGGCAAAUUAUUUAUUAUCUUUUUCUUAAAAUGGAUGGUAAAUUAUUUAUUUCAUUUAUUUCUAUUUUCUGUAUACAAUUGUAUUAAAAUAUAUAAAAAUUUUAAUAAAUCACAUAUAAUAUUAUUAACAAUCCAAAAGUCCUAACAUUCAUUCAUAUAAUUCUAAUAAUUAAACAAAAAUUUUAAUAAUUCACAUAUAAUUUUAAAAUUUUCAUGAAAAUUUGCGAACGACACAUGCACUCUGAAGGCAAGAAAUAAUUUCCCACUUUCUAACUCAAUUUGUCUAAUAUGACACUGAGUUGGUGGGAAAAAAAUUAAUUGAUCAAAUAAAAUUUUAAAAAUAUUAUUUGACAAAUUAAGAGAAAUUUAAGAAUUAUGUUAAAAAAGAAUAAUAGCAGAUGCUACAUUUCCCUGUGCUACACGCAACUACGCAAGGCAACAGAGGCAUCGACCAAAAAGAGAAAAAAGUUCUUUCUCUCUCCCUGAACACUAUCUAUCAAGUCAUAAUCAAAUCUCAUCCUACUUAUUUCGCCAUUCAAAUCCACAACAUCAGCUUUUGGCAUCUUCCCCACAAGGAAUGAGUUAAAAGCAAUACUACAUCACUACUACCUGUACACCUAUAUAAAAUAUUAGAAUCUGCUCGUCGUGUUCGGCUACGGUGCUUUUAAAAAUACUAAAUAUUUAAUAUUUAUAAAUUUUUUAUAAUUAAAUUUAUUUUUUUUGAUUAUUUUUAUUCGUUAGAUUAUAUUGUUUAACCAUCUAUUCACUCAACCCUAAUAGAAAAUCGCCAUCAUCUUAACCGCACGCUUCUUAAUCCAUGGACUGAAAAUCUACAGACACUAAUAAUGUCUCAUUUUAAAAAAUAUUGAAGCUCAGGGGUGAGAGUAGUUCGGAUAGACUCGUCGAUAUGAUGCGAAUAUAAAUAUCAAAAUUUAGUACAAAGCCUGCAAAUCCAGUCAAAAAAUUUACCUCAUUAUUAAAGGAAAAAAAAAAACAAUCAAAUUAUAUUUUAAUUUUGAAGUCCUUUUAUUUAGCUAACUCAUACAACAAGAUUAAUGUGACAAUUAAGAUUUUCAUAAGCACGAAAAUAUUAUAAAAAAGUAGACAUUUUUUAUAAUAAGCAAUAUUACUAAUAUUUUUGAAAGUGAAAUAUAUAUUUUAUAUAUUCAUAAAAAAAUUAUUAAUUUUUACUUGUCGUAUUAAUCUUUUUACUAAAAUUAUUUAAAAUUGUAUAUAUUUUAAAAUAGAGUGUGUAAGAUGCAUUCUCUUUUUAGAACAUAAAAAUAGAAUUUUGCUUUUACACUAUCAUUCCCAAAUUGACAAUCCCUCCGCAGAAAACGACAAAACCAAUCUAAUAAACCCACGCUAAAACGCAAUUAUACCAUAUCUUGCGUGACUCAAACUUAGGUAAUUCGUGAUGUUGAUAUUAUUGAUAUCUUAAAAUAUUUAUAUAAAAAUAUUUUAGAAAAUACAGCAUGACGAUCAGCUAUGUUAAAUAUAAUUUUAACUAUUUGAACUUAGUAAAAAGCCAAAUUUAUAAUUUUACGAUAUUAUUUAAUUAGUGUUCAAGUAUUGUCAAAUUUAUGUUAUAUUAGUUAAAAAAUAUUAAUUUUUGAACCACGUCAAGACUAGAUAAAUAAUGUUAAAAACUUAUAAAAUUUAAACCUAAAAGAUUCAAAUAUUUUAAAAUAUAUUUAACAGUAUCGUCAUCAAUUUGAAUGCCCCUGCCAUAGAAAACAAUGCGAAAAAAAAAAAAAAAACUAUCCCAACUAUGUAUACGGAGUACAAAGAUUACAGUAACAGCACCCGCUAUCAUAAUUUAAUUCAGAGUUUUAUUUUUUCCCUAGUAGCAUAACACUUGCUCAAAAAAUUUAACCUUAUUUGAAAAAAUGUGUCAUUUAAGGUGUUUGGGUCACUCCAAAUUACUCUUGAAUUUUAUAAAAAGGUACCUAAUUUUUAGAUUGAGUGAGAGAGCAUGAAUAGCUAAGAUGUUUUAUCCUCAACUUACUUGGAGAAUCUUUAGAUUUGUGAGCUUUUUAUUUUACUAUAAAAUUAUAUAGGAAUGAAGUAAUUUUAUUGCGUUUUGUAAUACCAUAAAAAUCAUUCAAAUAUUUUUUUCUAAAAAAAAAAUAUACAGCGUGUGAUAAAAAAUUUGAUAAUUAAUUCGAAAUCCCAAAUUCAAAGUCUAAGUCGAUUCAUAUUUCCAACUAAGUUUAUUUUUUUUUUUAAAAAAAAAAUACUUCGGAUUUGAUUGCUGGCUUAUAUGUGGAGGGAUCAGACCUUACAAUUUAAGAUAUAAUAAUAAAGCUUACAAUUUAAUAAUAAUAUUUAGCGUUUAGUUAUUAAUAUUUAAAAUAUAAUAAUGAUAAUGUCAUGUUAUCAAAAGUAUUAUAGAAAAUCUUCUCCCUAUAACACUACUCAAAAAAGAAUGAAACCAAAAGUUUUAUUUUUCUCAAUAAUAAUAAUAAUAAUAAUAAUACAGCAGCUGUAAAAUACCUUGAUUUUAACAAAUAUUCCACUCGUACAAGAUUUUCAAACACACCAUUACCAAGUAUGAAAAUAAAUAUAUUUAUAUUUAUAGAUUUCAAGAUUUUUUUUAAAAAAAAAAAAAAAACCUUUGAACACAACAAAAGAUGACACGGCUCGUACAUUCAGAUGUCCAUUCAUUCAUUUCGGUCCUUUUCCUUUCCCUUUAAUUACAGAUAAAGAUAGACAGAAAGAUACAGAAAGAGAGAAAAGUGCACUCCAGUCGGCAAGCCAGGCUGCGCGGAUGAGAUUUACCAUCAGCUGCCGGCACUCUCAGCAAUGCUCUCCAAUGCCGGCCUCCACUGAUGAGCCUGCCGUCUGCCCCCGCUGCUGCCGCUCGCAACUGCCGCCGCCUCCGCUUCCGUCUCUGCCGAGGGCUCCUCGCUUGUCGGGGAGGUUGCGGAUGCUGCUUGUGCAUGCUAUGACAAAUAUACAAUCGGACCAACAUUUAUACUUAGACUUUGUUUGGUAAUGUGAUGGUUAAAAAUUAUAACUUAAAUUUAUUUUAACCGCCGAAAAUUUAUUUUUUUAAUGUUCCACCCUCCAACCCUUUGGUUGGUUGGGGGUUAAGGAGUGGAAUAAUUCCUUAACCCUCGUAUUAUCCCCAAAUAUCUCAAAAAAUGAGUGGGGUUAGCUAAUCCCGCCUAAUCCGGAAUAGUCUAUUUUGGGUGGAGUUAGCUAACCCCAUCAAACCCCAACCAAACACUAUUUUUUAUUCAUAAUAACUCACUAUCCUUCUUAUCCCACCUACUCCAACCAAACACUAUUUUUCACUAUCCUAAACUAACUCCAACCCCCAACCAAAUACAAAAAUAUUCUAACCCCACGUUAAUCCUGAACUUAACCCUAUCCCUAAAAUAACUAAUUUUUUUUUAACCCCGAACCAAAGAGUAGCCAAAAGUAUAAAUUUACAGUGCUUUUAGCUACUGUUUGGUGUCGUCGUUUGCUAGUUUUUUGUACGGGCAAAUUAUACUUUUGGUCCUCAAAGUAUCAUGCACAUGACAUUUUGAUCCUUAAAAUUUACUUUGCUAUAACUUUUAGCUUAAAUUUUAUAAAUUAUUAUAAUUAAGUCUUAUAAUUUAAUUUAAUUUGAUAAAUAUUCAGAAAUCAUUAAUAUAAACAUGAUGCAGCACAUCCUCGAUCAUAAAUUUUCAUAUAAACAAUUCGUUAAUAUUUAAUCAACUAAAUUUGACUCUCAGACUUAUUUACAAUAAUUUAUAAAGAUCGAAUUUGAAAAAAUUAAUAAAUAAAGUUAGCAGCUUAGUAAGACUCGAACUCAAAAUUUUCUAUUCUAACACCAAAGUAAUAAUGUAAAAUAAUUGUUUUUCUUUAAAAUCAUAAACUAAUUUUCAAUAUUUCUAGUCAACACCCGAAAAUAUUAAAUUUUGUUUAUUUUUAUAUAAAUACCGCAGAUGUACAACACAUAAACAAUUCAUUAUCUAGCAUAUUUUAAUAUAUAAAAUAUUUGCAUAAAAGAAAUAAUAAGAAUAAUUUACACUUUUGGUAUGCAAACUAUGAGGCGAGCGACACUUUAAUAUUCAAAUUUUAAUUUAUCAAAAUUCCUCACUUGAACUUUUAAAAUUAUUAUAAUUAAAUCUCGCAUGUAAUUUAGUUGAUUGAAUAUUAAUUACAUGUCAUUAAAAACCAAAAUAAUAUAGUAUUUAAUUAUUAAUUAUUGCAUCACCAAUUAUAUCCCGGUAAUAUUCCUUUUAUAUUAGUGAUACAAUAUUAAUAUUUAACUAACUAAAUUACAUUGUGAAAUUUAAUUAUAAUAAUUGAAAAUUUUGAACCGAAACUGUGAAAAAUGAAAAAAACAAAGUUUGAAAGGACCAAAAGUGUAAUUCAGCCCAACAACAGUACCAAUUAAACCCAGCCACAGUUAAAUAAUCUGUAGAGUAAAUUGCAUGUUUGGCCCUCAAAUUUUAAUUUAUUAUAAUUUUUAAUUCAAAAUUUGAAAUUUAUUGUAAUAAAAUUUUAUAACCCAAUUUAGAUUAUUACAUAUAUUAAUUUAUAACAAAUGUAAAAACAUUGUACUAGUGUGUUAAUUUUGUAAUGCACCAAUAAUUAAGAAUCGCAUUAUUUGUACGAUAAUACAUUAAUAUUUAAUCAAUUAAAUAAUACCCGCAUUAUAGUUUAACCAAACGUGCAAUUUACCCAAAGUCUCUGUGAUACCAUGGUCGCUGGGGCUGUGCCUUGCUCCGUCUUUCGUGCUUGGCGUUUGCACCGUCCAUAAAUACCACCGCAGCUCGUCAUUUGCCGAGCGGUGUCGUCGUUACCUUUCUGCUUCACGGUCAGCCGGCUCAGCUUCACACGCUGCUUUGACGCAAACUCCCUCAGUACCUCUGACAUUAAAAACCAUCUCAUCUAUACUAGUCAAAUGAUGUAAAACUACUGUUAUUUUUCGAAAGCUUAAGCUACUUAAAAACUGUAUUUUUAAUAUUCACAUUCAACAUUCUUUCUCACGUUGAAAUUUAAGACCUGUUGAUAGACUCGAACAUAAACUAAUGUUAAAUGGGAUGGCGGGGUUGUAAUACCAAACGAAAUUAUAUGAAAUAAUAGGUAUUUUUCAAGAUUUUAAGUCGUUAAAAAACGAUAUUUUUAAUAUUUAAAUUCAAAAUAAAAAGACGAUGAAAUGGUGCACGACAAAAGAAAAAAAUCUCAGUACAAGAAUGCAUUUUAGAUGACGCUUGAAAAAUUUUCAAGAUCCAACACGUUCUUACAAUAUAGCAAAUAAUAACACUUCAAAAAAUAUCGCACAUGAACCCUCAAUUAUAUCAAAUCAACUUAUUAAAUAAUAAAUUUUACUAUUAUUUGUAAUUUUUAGAUUUUUAAAAAUUCUGACGCACGUCAAAAUAUAUUUUACUGUCGCUCGGCAUAAGUGGCGUUAUAUAUACACAACGGCCGCGACUCUUUAUUUACCGAUGCAUUUAAAUAUGACGCUAUGCUGUAUUGAGAUGCUUUUAAGCAUAUAUAUAUAUAUAUAUAUAUAUAUAUAUAUAUAGGAUAUAUAAUAUAUAUAUAUAUACUAUAUAUAUAUAUAUAUAUAUAUAUAGAGUGAAGCCUACUAUACUUCUGGAAGUACGGAGCUUCCGUGCUUUUAGGUCGUUUUCGAUGUUGUGAUUUUCGAAUCGUCAAUCGGCUCCGUUAAACUUGAUCUAGAAUAUUUGAAGUACUUAGAAAAUAAAUUUUAAUUUUCGAUAACAUCUGCUUGGUGAUCGAAGGUACUCAAAAUCAAUAAUUUUAAAUAGCCGUGUGGAGCCGUUUGCAAGUUUAACGGUGUAGAAAUAUUCAAAUCACGUAAAAUUUUGAUAAAAAAUUUUUUAUACUAUAUAAAACAAAUCAAUAUUUUUGAUCUAAAAUUUUAAUAUCAUAUUAUCACGUUUUGUAAGAUUUUUAUUUUCAGCCGUUAUUUUGAGCCCCUUAGUUCACUAGGCAAAUGAUAUCGAAAAAUUGUAAAAUUUAUUUUCUAGGUACUUCAAAUACUCUAGAUCAAUUUUAACGGGCCGAUCGACGAUUCGAAAGUCGCAACAUCAAAAUAACCUGAAAGCAUGAAAAGCCCUCCAUGCUUCCAGAAUAUAAUAGCCUCUUCUCUCUCUCUCUCUCUCUCUCUCUCUCUCUCUCUAUUAUAUAUAUAUAUAUAUAUAUAUAUUCUUAAAUAUUAAUUUUUUUUCGUAAUGGUGGGGGCCGACCUUCGAAGGUGACGAGGCGGUAGACGCGGCCGAUGAGGAGGGUAUCGUCGGGGCGGAGCAGCUUAAGAUGCUUCACCGGGUGAGCAGCAGCAGCAGGAGCAGCAGGAGCAGGGGGUGUGGUGGCGGUGACGAUAACGGCGGCGACGUAGUGGCCGGGGUUAGCGGCCAUGACGUGGCAGGCGCUGAGCGACCAAUAGAAUCGUUCGACCCUCCCCCCCGGGUGCUCGAUCACCACCGUCGCCGCCUCCGCCGCUUGGCAAUUCCCCAUCUAUCGAUAUAUAGAUCCCUCCUACACUCCUACGUACCUUAGUUUGUACGUACGUUACGUGUGUAUACGUAAAUGUAUACGUAUCUCUCUCUCUCUCUCUAUCUAAGAGGAGGGACGAUCCCAAACCCAAAUUAAGCGAUGUGUGGUGGAGCGAAAACAAGCGGAGGGGGAAUGAAGGGGAGAGAGAAAGGAGGGUGAGGUGGCGUGAAGUGCGUUUAAUACGGGCGUGAGAGUGCGGUGCGGAUUUAUUUAUUGGGCUUUUUUUACAAAUAGCCCCCUUAUAAUUUGUUUUUUUUAAAUUGGCCCUGUCAAAAAUUUAUUUGCGAAAAUGGCCCUACCCCCGCUACGUCAGCGCCACGUCAGCGCCACGCGGGCGGGACUGGGCCAGAUGGUUAUGUUGAACACAGUGAACCAUUCACCGUGUCCAAUAUAAAAUGGUUAAGAUCGAAAUAUUUGUAUUGGACACGGUGAAUCAUUUACCGUGUCCAAUACAAAUAAUUGGACACGGUGAAUGGUUCACCGUAUCUAAUACAAAUACCUCCAACUUACUCAUUGUUGGGGUAUUUGUAUUGGACACGGUGAAUCAUUCACCGUGUCCAAUACAAAAAUUUUGUAUUGAACUCGGUGAAUGGUUCACCGUGUUCAACUUAAACACCUGCGCCCGCCCUGCCCGCGUGGCGUUGACGUGGCGCUGGCGUGGCAGGGGCAGGGCCAUUUUUGUAAAUAAUUUUUGGACGGGGCUAUUUUUGCAAAUAAAAUUUAUCAGGGGGCUAUUUGUAAAAAAAACCCUUAUUUAUUAGGUGAAAUGCAUUAAUAUCCCUGCAAACGUAAUAAACUACAAAUAAGUUUCUACGAACUUUAAUUUUUAUAUAUUACUAGCGCAAAAAUUCUAAUAUUUUCUAAUAUGUUCUUUUGAUUUGUUAUAAUUAUAAAAUUAUUUAUGAUUUAAGUAAAAUAUCAAGUUUGUUAUUACAAAUAUGUACCUCUAAAAGCCACAACAGUAAAACAAAAAUAUCAAAUUAUCUUAUAAAUUAAUCAGAGUUAAGCAUUUAAUUAUGAUUAACUAAAAUUUUCUAACGGAUUCUAACGACAGGAACAUAUUUAAAAAUAUUAGGAUUUUUAUAGGCAUAUGAAAAUUGAACUUUUAAGAGACAUAUUUGUAAUUCAAUAUAUUUACAGGGACCUGUAAGAAAUUAAUCCUAUUUAUUAUUGAGUCAUUAUUUAUAAAUAAUAUUUUUAGAGUCCGACUGCUGUACUAUCAAUAACACGGAUACCUUCGUGCUACCAAGUUAUUUUUAUUUAUAAUUUUUUGAUAUCAUUUACCUAUCAAAAAAGUAGUCUAAGAAUAAACGGCUGAAAAUAAAAAUCUUUUUAAAAAUUAAUGAUAAAUCUUUUUAAAAAAUAAUGAUAAAAGACUUGAAUUUAAAAUCAGAUGUACUGAUUUUACUCUAAAUAGUAAAAAAAAAAUUAUAAAAAUUUUAUUGGAUUUGAAUUGUUUUACAUAGUUAAAUUCGCAAACGCAUCACAUUGAUCAUCAAAAUUAUCAAUUUUGAGACUUUUUGAUUACUGACCAAAUAAUAUUAAAAAAUUAUGAAAUUUAGUUUUCAAAUACUUUAAAUAGUGUAAAUCAAGUCUAACGAAGCUAUUCGUCGAUUUGGAAGCUGCAUUAUUGAAAACAAUUUGACAGCACGGAGGUCAGCCUGACAGCCUCUGUGCUAUCGAUAGUAUAGCAGCCUAAUUCAUAUUUUUAUAUCACUUUUAUAUUAAUAACUUAUUAAUACUUGGUUUGCUAAAUAAAAUUGCAAAAUAUGAUUAAAUUAGUUCAGAAAGUUCAUGCAAAAAUUUACAAUAAAUAAAACUAGUUUGAGGACCAAAAGCAUAUAUAAUUUAUCCUAAACUUUUUGAAAUAGCAAAUUUUAUAAUUUUUUAAUAUUAGUUUUUUUAAAAAAAUUACAAUAUUUUGUUUGAUUUUGACAUUUUUACUAAUUUGUUAAUUAAAAUUCAUAAAACUUAAAGUGGGAUUCAGUUUCUGAUUCAUUAAAUUUUGAACAAGAAUUAAGCUAUUGUAAUCAGUGGUAGUGGUUGAUAGUUUUGAAAUAAAGGUACGUAAUUAGAGAGCACACAUCAUAAUUAAAGAUAGUUGUUCAUUAUAUAUAUAAUGAAUAGUUUUUUCUUUUUUAUGGUUAAAAGACGUAAUUUUUUAUAUGUUUUUGCUCAUGAGCAUUUUUCUUGUCCUUUUUAUCUCAAAAAUAAAUAAAAACAUUGAGGUUUUAUUGAUCCCUCUUGGCUUAUAUGGAAAAACUAUCUGUGUGGAAGCCAAAAAAAACCUCUCAUAUUUGAAUCAGGAUUUUUACGAUUUUGCUCCAUCGAAUUCAAAUUAUCUAUUACUUAAUUUGAUUUAGUUUUACAAAGUUUACUAAUCAUUGUUUGAUUUUCUCCGAUACAUUUUAGGUUAGGCAAAGUAAUUAACAGUUCUCUAUUAGAGAUUUUAAUUAGAGCAAAAAUUUAUGUAAGCUUUUUAGAUAUGAGGGCGGAAGCUCUACUUAAAGCUCGUAUUCCUGAUACAACAGUAAUAAGAAAAUUGAUGCAGCAACAUUCAUUCACUGCUAUAAAAGAGUACUAUUAUAAAUUCUCAUAGUAUUAUCUUUAUAUAUAUAUAUUUUUUUGUGAGAAAAAGAUAGUAUGAUAUCCAUUUUAUCCAUUAGAAAGAUAAACUAUGCUACAGGGGUGAGACAACGUGGGCCUCGAGGGCUUAAAGUUACAAAAGAAAAAACAAAAUGCCUCCAACCGCUUAAUAUUCUGCUUAAUUUUGCUUAAUUUGCUCCCAAAACUUCGCAAGCUGCUUAACCUUGUGGAUAGCUAACAAUGUGUCCAACUGGAUCUUUCUAAAAAUCAUAUCAUUACUAACCUUCCAGAUGAUCCAUCAGCAGACUACUAAACCUGUUAGUCUGUGUCUCGUAGUUUGUCCACCUACCCCACCCUUUCAUCUAUCCCAGACAGAGAUAACAUCUUCUCCCAUAUUCUUGUCCUGAAUGUCCUCCACUCCCAUUACUAAAAUAAAUUUGGAGAAUACACACUGUAUGAAUAAAUGAUCCACAGUUUUUUCUUCAAUCCGACACAGCACACAGGCUGUGUCUCCAGUCCUCCCUCCCUUCACUAGGUUGUUUGUCGUAAGGGGUUUCUUCUUAAGUACCAGCCAACAGAACACUUUACCUUUUAGGGGUAUUCAAAGUUUUCAAAUCUAGUAUUGUUUAUAUGUUGGUUUUCACUAUAUGAAUUAUUGUAUUGAUUGGUUAAUGUCCCAAAUGUGAGAUUCCUAUAUAAAUUUACAAAUAUAUAAUUAAUAUAUAAUGGCAAUAACAGAGAAAAGACGAGAUAGCAUAUAUUUAUUUAUACUAAACAAGAGUGUAAGCCAUUUAUAUAAAAAUAAGCAAUAAAUAAAAAUUAGGGCUAUAACUUUGCCUUAUAACAACUUUCUAAUAAAAUAUUUAUUUUGCUAAUGGGCCGACCUUGGGCCGUGACUCGUUUGAAGCCCAUAUAGUGCGCAAAUAUCGAAUAUGUUGCCCGAAAGUCCGAACCCGCCUUUUUAAAAUUUGCGCAAGGUUUAUGGGAGUCCAUUUAAUUCCCGGCCUGGUCCAAUGUAGCUGCAUCUUCAUCAACUACAAUAAUGUAUAGUUUCCUUAACUAUCUCGCGGUUUGAAUAUCUGUAUCGAUCAAUGUAUUAGUCAAUACUGUAUAAGUUAGUGUGUAAAUUGUAGAUGAUAUAUCAGUAUUUCAGCAUAUUAGAAACUUUUUAGCCCGCAAACUGCGUUCUCAUAACGCAACGCAUGCUUUUGUUUUUCUCCCAAACGAAUACAAAUGGACCGUAAGCGCGGCCCGCUUAUAAGCAAGCAGGGCCAAACCCCUAACUUAGUCGGCAAACUUAUCUAAACUUGGGGCCAAGUUCUCAAGCAGCAUCUUUUUUAAGAGUCUUAGGCUUAAUUUGGUAUUGAACUCUAUUUAACGCUAUUAGAUAAAAUAGAAGGCUUAGUCUGGUAUUGAGCUCUAUUUAACGCUAUUAGAUAAAGUAGAGUUGGCGUAAAAACAUAUAAGGAUAUGUUUCUGCAUUAUAUGGUGAGAUCGUAAAAAAUAUAUCAUAACCGACUAAUCACGAUAUACGAAGCGCAAUAAUACGUACGGAAACAAACAAAAUAUUUUCUCAUAGUAUUUUUUUACCACACGUAAUGUAAUUUCCCCGCAUUUUCAAACAAAGCCCAUUUUGUUUUCGCUGUUUACCGCAAGUCUCCCUUUGUAAUUUAUUAGCAUCAAAUAUUCACCUAUCAAAAUGCCCUGAUGCAAUUAUGUUUGGUGCCAAAGGUACAGUCCAAGGUUGUCCUCCACCAUGUGGAGUAUUCAAUAAACUGGUUUGACUCCAAAUUAAUGAAAAAGCACACUAUCCAAAAGUCAAUAUCCAUCUUUGCAUUAACAUCCAUGGUCCCAUUCUUGUAAAAUGGAAAAAAAAAUUAGUUUCAUUUAUUUCACAGCAAUAAUCUACUAGCUAUAAAAAUGCCAAAAAAAAUAGGAAAAAAAAGAAAAUAUUAAGUCAUAUAACCUAAAUCAUUCAUAGUGGCUAUUUCCUCUAAUUGAAUGUGGAAUAUAAAAGAUAAUUGGUAUAUAUAUCGACUUUCGUGCAAUCAUUGAUAAGUCCUAUUUAUUAGAAACGGAAAAGUUCGUAGUUUCAUUUAAUGUUUUAUAAAAUGAUCUGUUUGGAUAAAAUUAAAAGAAUUUCUAAUUUGUUAUGCGUGAAAUGUUAAAGACGUACAAUUGAGAAAUGCAUCUAGGGGAGAAAUAUGCUGCGUAAUAUAAUCAAAAUUAAGAGUAUAAAAAAGGCCUAUCUCUUUAAAAAAAAUCUAGUCCAAGAUAUAUUUAUUACUCUCCUCAUUUAAUUGAUAUACACAUAAGAACCCAUAACUAAGUAAAUUACGAAAAAAAUUUCAACCUACUAAAUCCACUGCAUCACAGAGCUGGUUGGAUAAAAAAUUAGAUCCAUAUCUAACAUUGAUCAAAUCAACACCGCAUGUAAUUUGACCCUUAUGUUCUAUAAGUUAGCAUUUGCUAUAUUAUACAUAAUAAUUGGGUAAUUGGGAAUUGAGUGGGAAUGCUUUUAAACUUCUUGGAAUUUCUAUGUCCUUUUUGACAAGGGCGUCUAAAUUUUAUAAGUAUUACAUUAUUAACCUAGUAAUCAAGUGGUUUUAAGUACACUUUAUAGGCGACGUUAAGAUUUGUAGAUUAUCAGACCAGUUAAACGAUGAGUAAUAAUGAUGAAAAAUCACGAAAUGUAGUUUUAGAAAAUUCCUAAGAGGUUGACCAUGUAUAAAAGUGUCGAUCAUCGGUUCAUAUUAUCCAUCACCUAAAAUGUUAGUUUGGAUAGCAGUGUUCUAAAAUCUAGAUAGAACUGGUCGGUUCGGCUGGUUUGACUGUGACCACUUAAUAAGCAGUUCGGUUAAAUCAGCAAACGGGUGAACCAGCCCAAUUUUAAACAAAUCGGCUAUGUUUUUUUUUUCUUUCUUUUUUUUUUCUAUUUUUCAUUUUUUUCUUCACUAAUUUUAAUUUCAUUUAUGGUUCAUUUUUGCUAAUUAUAUUUUUUAUUGUGAAAAGUGAAACUUGAAAACUUAUAUUUAUUUAAUUUAGUUGAGAAAUCAGUAUUCCAUAAUUAAGUACGAUACUAACAUAUAUAUUAUCAUAUAUACAAUUUUUAAUAUAAUAAAAUUUAAAAAAUAAUUAAAUAUUUAUAACAUCAUGCUGAACUUAUUAGUCUCGGUUGAACUAGUAAUUCAUGAUCCAGUAAUAUUUUUCGAUUGUUGUUCAACUAAAAUUCUAAAAUAUCGACGUCCAAAAGUAUUCUAACUCAAUUCUUUUUUUUUUUUUUUGAUAAAUAAGGUAGCACGGCUCCCCUUCGUUUAUUUCAUGUAGAAAUAAACUUAGCUGAAAAUGUGAAUCAAGUAGGAUUCGAACUCUGGGUCUCAGGUACCAACCAUCAUCACUACAACAAAAACGGUCUAUAGCGACACUUUUAAAUGUAGGUACAUGUCAAAAAAAUGCUGCUAGCUAAAAUUACCGACACUUUUAAAAAGUGUUGCUAUAUGUGGGGUCGCUAGGUAUAUAGUGACAGUUAAAGAGUGUCGCUAUAACCUAAAAGAGUGCUGCUAAUUUACAAACACUUAUUUAAGUAUUUAGCAACCGCCGAAACUCUAUAUCGUUGGCUGCGGUGGCGGAGGAGAACGACAGGAAAGGCUCUUCGUCUAAAAUUUCAGUGGAUUGAGUGAAGAGAGAAGAAAAGAUGGUAAUUGAUUUUUCUCUUUUUUUUUUUUCUUUUCUGUUUGUAAUCGUGCCAAAUAGACCGGGUGUGGUGGGUUGAGUAGAGUAAUCUUUUAUUUUUGGUUGGAUUGGGCUUUAUAUUUAGGCAUUAGUAGAUAUUUUUUUAAAGUUUUAGCAUAAAUAGGACACUUACUCAAAAGUGUCCCAAACAUGUGUCGCUGUAAUCUAAUUCUGUUGUAGUGUUGCCACUUGCUCUAGGGACGGUCGGUAACUCAAUUCUAAUAAUUGCGCGACAAUUAUUUGAUUUGAUGUAGAAGUUAUGUGCCUCGUGAAACUCAUAACUGUUUCAAGCUGCUACUACAGAAAUCUCUAGUAACUUUUCUUUUUCUUUUUUUUUUUCUUCUUCCAACGGAGACAAACUAUUUAUUCUUCUGGGGCCAAAAGAGCCAGGAAUUUACCAACCCUAGUAGACAUGAAUGAAUCCCCCUCCAGAAUAUAAAAUAUAAAAUAAAAUAAAAUAAAAAGAAAAAAGAAAAGAAAAGAAAAGAAAAAAGUCUAUGAGCCAGCUCAUAGAGAGUCCUCAACUGCUUCUGCUUUUUUUUUCUCCUUUAGCAACCCCACAAGGCACAACAGUGCUUUUGAAGGAGUCCACACUUUGACUACAACUGGCUUGUGUUUUUCCCUAUCUCACCUUGACCUGUGUGCUUUGUGGUAGUGCACACAUUUUGAAGGCUCAAGUUUCAACUCCAACCAUGUGAGAUGGGUGGGUUAGGGCUUGUUUAAUGAAAUGCUAUUUAAAAGAUACUAUUAGCUAAUUGAAGCACUAUUUUUUAGUUACAUUAUUUACGUUUUCUCUUGGGCAGCUGAGUCAAAAGUUUCGCUUUUAGGCCUUAAAAUUAUAUUUGUCACAAUCUUUACUAACAAACUACCGAUAAUUACGAUCACUUGUGCAGAUUUUUGAUCAUUGGAUAGAUAUAUCUACGAGUUAGCACAAUAUGUUGCUUACUCCACUUGUUGUUAACUUGUUAUUGAACUGCGAUUUUAGAAGAACCACUUAAACAGGCAUAUGAUCACCAGGACAUAACUACUGUGAUAGCUUAAUUAACCUUAAUCGUGCUUAAGAACCAUUUAAGAUUCGCAUAAUAUUAGGAAUAAAUAGCCAGGAUCCAAACUAACCCCAUCUAAUAAUUGGGAGAGGAUAGUACAACCAUAAAUGACAAGCGUCAACAGAUCUCACCAGGGGAGUGUGGAAGAGAGGACCAUUGAAUUGGGUUCACGAGAUAGUGAUAUGGUGUGGGGGUUUAUAUAUAUAUAUAUAUAUAUAUAUAUAUAUAUAUAUAUAUAUAUAUAUAUAUAUAUAUAGAGAGAGAGAGAGAGAGAGAGAGAGAGAGAGAGAGAGAGAGAGAGAGAGAGAGAGAGAGAGUCCGGAUAGGAUACUAUCGAUAGCACAAAGAAUUUGGUGCUAUCGAGUUUUCUCCCGUUAGAUUUAACUCUUUAAUUAUUUUUACCCGUUAGAUUAUACUAUUCAACCAACCACUCACUCAAUCCUAAGGAGUUCACAUCAUCCUAACCACACAUUUCUUAAUCCAAGAGCUGAAAAACUAACAGUAUUUUAGCUAGUUCUCUCUCUCUCUCUCUCUCUCUCUCUCUCUAUAUAUAUAUAUAUAUAGAACUAGGCUAGAAUAUUAUUAAUAGUACUAAGUCAUUAGUGUUAUUAGGUUUUCGGCCCUUGGAUGAAACGAUAAGCGGUUAAGAUUAUGGUGGCUCCCUAGGGUUGAGUAGGUAGUUGAUUGAAUAAUAUGAUUUAAUGGGUGAAAAUGACCAAAAGGAGCGAAAAACUUGGUAGCAUCGAGUGCUUGGUACUAUCGAUAGCAUUGUAGCUGGAUUCUCUCUCUCUCUCUCUCUCUCUCUAUAUAUAUAGAGAGAGAGAGAUAUAUAUAUAUAUAUAGAGAGAGAGAGAGAGAGAGAGUGAGUCCAGCUACUAUACUAUCAAUAGUAUCAAACUCUUAGUAUUAUUGAGUUUUCUGCAAUUAGAUUCUUUGAUUAUUUUCACCCGUUAGAUUAUACUAUUCAACCAACUACCAACUCAACCUUAGGGGACCACUAUCAUCCUAACCGCACAUCCUUUCAUCCAACGGGCGAAAACUCAGAUAGCACAAAAUGUUUGGUACUAUCGAUAAUAUAAUAGCAUAUAUAUAUAUAUAUAUAUAUAUAUAUAUAUAUAAUAUAGAGAGAGAGAGAGAGAGAGAGAGAGAGAGAGAGAGAGAGUCCAGUGUUACUAUGCUAUAUAAUAGGCACGGAAGACAGUUGGUGCUACAAGUGUUCUGCCGGUAGUCUACGCAUUUUGAUCAUUUCACUCGUUAGAUCAUACUAUUUCAACCAAGCCACCUCACCACAACAGAAUUAGGUUAAUAGGGACACAUGUUUGGGACACUUUUUGAGUACAGUGUUCAUUUAUGACCGUAAACUUAAGAAAAUAUACUACUAAUCUUAAAGAUAAAGCCCAUCCAACCAACAAAUAAAAGAUUAACUCUAAACUCAACCCUACAAACCCAGCUCUAUUUGGGGCCUGAUUACUAAAUUCAGAAAAGAACCAAAGAAAAAAAACUCCAUUACAUCUUUUCUUCUCUCUCACAACUCAAUCUAACUGAAAAUUCUAGACGAAAGAGCUUUCCUUCGUUCGUCCUUUCCUCACCCGCCACGAGCCAACAGAGAUAGAUGUUUCGGCGGUGCUAAAUGCUUAAAUAAGUGUUUGUAAAUAGCAAGCACUCUUUUAGGUUAUAGCGACAACUCUUUAACUGUCAUAUAUAUUACCCUACGAGCCCCACAUAAUAGCAACACUUUUUAAAAGUGUCGUAAUUUACUAAGCAGCAGUUUUUUGACAUGUACCUAUCUUGAAAAGUGUCGCUAUAAAUGACCGUUUUUGUUGCCAUUUCUAGUGCCUAUUAAAACCCUUGGGGCCACAUCAUUCUAACCGCACAUCUUAACCAAUGGCCAAAACUUGGGUAGCACCAAUGAUUUGUGCUAUUAAUAGUAUUAUUAACCUAGUUAUAUAUAUAUAUAUAUAUAUAUAUAUAAUUAUAUAGAGCCGCCGGCUACUAUAUCUCUUAUAGCAACCGAACGUCUUUUGUUACUGCAUAAUUUUUUACCUUCGUUGUGUCUACUCUGUUAAUCAUUUUCACUCGUGUAGUAUUAUACUAUUCAACCACCCACACACGUCAACUCCUAGGAAACAUGGGCCCCUAUCACCUAACCGUAACACUCUUCAUCGCCCUACCAGCGCACAUUUUUCAGUCUCUGAACCGGUAAGACCGCGAAUUAGUUUAUGAGUACAUUAAGGCUCUAUACUCAUAUGAGUAUACGUCAGCCCUCACCCUAAAUAUAUAUAUACUGUAUAUAGCGCUGGGGCAACCUAUAGCUCUUAUGAUAUAACACAAUCCGUUCAACUCAUAAAUUUUUAACCGUUGAUAUGAUACGAGUAAUAUUGUAGCCUGGGUUAGGAUGGUGGUCUGAUUGGCUUCCCAACUUUAUGUAAUCAUAAUGUCCCUUAGGGUUGAGUGGAUAUGUUGGUUUGUAAUACUAUAAAAAAAAAAUUAACGGGUAAAAUGAUCAACUGGAAUAAUCUAAGGGCCGAAAUUAUGAGUAUGAAGAAAGACAAAUUUAACUCUAAAAAGUAUAAGUAGCUAAACUCAUCAGACAUAACUGAUAUUAAAAUAGACAUUUAUAUAAUAAAACAUAUAAUAUAUAUAGAUAUUAUAUUAUUAUAUAUAUAUAGAAUUAGGCCUACUAUGCUAUUAUGAGCACAAAGUCAUGUGCUACCAAAGUUGUUUGGCCAUUUGAAUUAAAGAGAUAUUACAUGGUUAGGAUAUGUGGCUCCUAACCGGGUUGAGUGAGUUGUUGGAUUGAUAUAGUAUGAUAAUCUAAUCGAUGAAAAUGAUCAAAAGGGCUACAUCUACGACGCGGAAAAAACUUGGUAGCUCAUAAAACAUAAUCUUCGUUGAUUAUUGGAAUCCAGACCUAGUAGCCGGCCGACUCUAAUAUAUAUACUAUGGCUUAUCAACAGGGCCAAAAACUUAUGAGUAUAAGAAGAACCAAAUAACCUAUAUAAAUAUAUCCCUUCGGACUCUCUCUCUCAUCUUCUCAGAUCGUUCACUAGGAUCCGAGUUAUUGCUUCGCCUCCAUUUUCCCCUUCAGUCCAUAUCCAUUACCAAUUCACAUUUACAAAGACACCCAUUAUUAUGACGAAUCAUCUAAAUAUCCAUAAUCAAAACCCUCUAACCCGUCAUACAAAACCCCAAGUUCGAAAUCCCUAGCUAUCGCUUUCAGGUCACCCAUCACCUGAAUUUAUACGGCAACACUCCCACAGCGUAAUAUAUUGGAAUAUUGAAUCGGAUAGCCAGAUAUUGGUCCAUCAUGAUAAUUGUAUUCAAAUAGCAGGCAGCCAUCGUCAGACAUAACAGUUUGACCAAUCACAAAUCAUCCUAGGAAAAUUCCUAGCAAACUUCCUAACGAUGUGAUUCAACAAUAUGAUUCGCGUUUCCUAGUAGAGCCAAGGCAACAGCCUUGCUCUUACUGCACCAAGGAAUCCAUCACUCCAAGAUAAACCAUACUGAGACGGACCAUGCUCUAUCAUCACGCCUUACAUAUCAGCAUCACAAUUUCCUUAUAAUCCUAAGUCCCUUGAAACAAAACGAAUCACGUUCCUUAAAUUCGAAGCGAUCCAUUGAGACUGCUGCCAAUGAAUAAGUUGUUGCUCUGCAAAGCUCAACUUUAGUCAAGUCAAAACAAAGCAGAUCCCCCGAUACCACAUAGUCCAAACUGAAGCACGUACUGACCUACUCAUCUCUCUUACCUUUAGUGCCUUAAGACCGAUGUGAUUCUUCUCUAUGGUAUCAAUCAUUUAACAACUGAUCCAUCUAAAAGUCAGAAUUUUAUAAGUUCUUAGACCAAACAAGAAGUUCAACAUCACAUCACUACCGAGCACAUAGCUCCUCAACAUGUCUAUUCAAAGUGAGAGACAACACUUAGUGUUGAUUACUCAUGAUGUCAGCCAAUAAUAUCGCGACGUAAGGAUAAACAAAUCCCAUCUCUUUCUUAAUAUAAAACAGUGCCCUUACAUGAUACGAUAGUAGGUAUGCUUACAUAAACCUGAAAUACAUAGCCGACUACUGCUGAGGACAAUAAAUGGAUUUUAAAUCACUAAACUGGUUUUUGUUGAUACCAAAACCUCAGGUUGACCUAGCAAUUCCCUCGCUAAUUCCCCGUGAGAAAGCUGUUAGAUCCAAUUGAUUCCAAAUCUAUCCUAAUAGAUAUCAAACGAAGAAUCGCAAAUCUCUCCAACGGGACGCAACCUCGUGUAUCUACCCUCCUCCUAAGCGUAGCUACCACGACCCUGUAUUAUCGAUUGAUCAAUCCCCUUGCCUUAAUUUAAACACAUUUAUUUUUCAAUAACUGAGAGGUCAAGCUCCAUUCCCAUCAUUGUCUGCCAUGAAGUCACUCAUCUCUAUCUUCAUAAGCAACCACACUGCAGCUCCGUGCACUCUAUGAUGUCUGCAAGCUUCUUUAUAAGAAGAGUCUCACGGCCAUACCAUAAAUAUUCCCCCUUCCGCUCAAAAAGUCCGGGCAGAAUAUUCCACUUUCACUUCUACCAAUGGAGGUCCGGAACUCGACUCAGUACUCAUUCAACAGCAUCAACUAGCCGAAGGAAGAAUACCGGCAGCUCUUCACUUCGGAUUCGAAGACAAUCCCUCUAACGUAAGAUAGGGGUUACGGCCUUACUCAUCAUCCGACGUUCUCCAUUUACAAUGCUUGAAAAAUCCUUUCUAGAAUUCACAUCACUGACCAAUCCGGUCAUAACCACAGCUGUUCCCAUACAUCACUACUCGAAUCCAGGUAUUGAAACACUGCGCUCGCUUUGGCGGUUCCCAGAUAUUUAUUGGCCUGACAUAUAACUGAACCAAAGGUGUAAUUAUAAACUUUCUCUAUCCCACCGAUCCGUCAUUGUGCAUAGAUCUGCACUUGUGCAUCGGAAACGAUUAGAUUGUAUCACUUGCAUCAUAAACAGUCUCUCCAAAAUUUAUAGAAUGCCACUUUAAGGUGCAGGUAUCUGCAAACAUUACUAAUAAAUACGUCCUGUCGUCGCAACAUCCAUUGUUCGAGUAGACCCGAAUAGGUUACUGUCGACAAUCUCCAUCUUCGCAUUCUCACAAAAAACUUUGAACUGAUUAGCCAAAGCAACAAUAUGUAGUACACCGCCCGCUGACUGAACUCCGCCCGAUCGCACCGAUUCACGGUUCGAUCCACGUCACUGGCGACGUACAACACCCGUCUCAUUUGACUGCUCCCGCCAAUCGCAACCCGCGUUCGCAGCAAUCUAACUUCAUCAAAUGGUAAACUAUAACACUAGACCCCCUAUCCAUAUAAAAUCAUGAAAGUAGAAAAUAGAACACAUAAUCGGUAUCCCUCACAUUCUGGCCAAUAAAGCGACGCGUACAUCAGUUCGCGCACAGCAGGUGCUCUAUUCUCUAUAUAUAAUAUCAUAUAUAUAUAUAUUAUAUAUAUAGUCCGACUACUAUACUAUCGUGCACGGAAGGCUCCGUGCUACCAAUUAUUUUGAUGGCGGCUGCCACUCGAUGAUCGCUCGUAUAACUUUGAUCUACUACUAUUGAAAAGUAUUUGGGAAACAAAUUUCAAAUUAUUUCAACAUAUUAUGAACUCAGUGAUCAAACGAUCUCAAAUUGACAAUUAUUGUCGAUGUGGGUGUUCUUGAAGUUUAACGGGUAAAACAAUCAAAUCGAUGAAAUUUUAUUGAAAAUUCUAUUUCCAUUAUUUAGUAGUAAGAUCAGUAUAUCUGAUCUUGAUUAAUAAUUUAUCAUCAUUUUUAUGAAUUUUAACUUUUUAGCCGUUCAAUUUAGAUAUACUUUUGUUGUGAUAGGUAAUAGUGAUCGAAAUUAUGAAAUUAAGUGUCUAAAUACUUUUAAUAGUGGUAGAUCAAGUCUAACGGCAGCCGAUCGUUGCGAUUUGAAAAUCGCAUCAUCGAAAAAACAACAUUGGUAGCAGCGGAGCCUCCCCGUGCUAUCGACAGUAUAGGCAGCCAGACAUAUAUAGUAUAUAUACUAUAUCUAUAUAUAUAUAUAUAUAAUUAUAUAUAUAUAUAUAUAUCAAUAUAAUAAUAUAUUAUACUAUAGUCUGGCUGGGGUACUAUCGAUAGCUACAGGAUUUGGUGGCUAUCGAGUUUUGUCGUCGUUUAGAUUUAAUUCUUUGAUUAUUUUUGCCCGUUUUAGAUUAAUACCUAUUCAACACCGCUACUCAGAAGCCCUAGGCCCCACAUCAUCCUAGACCACUCCAUUUCUCACAUCGCAGGGCAAAAUCACUAGCAGCUAAAUAGUUUGUGCUAUUGAAGUAUUAUCAGCCUAUAUAUAUACGUAAUACAAGCUAGGCUCGCUAUAUACUAUCGGUAGUCAUGUGACGCUCUCCGUGCUAAUCAAAGUUGUUUUCAAUGAUGCCGCUUCCAAAUCGAGAGAUUGGCAAAGGAGACUUGAUUUACACUAUUAAAAGUAUUUGAAACUAAUUUCCAUAAUUUUCGGUAUCAAUUUACCUAUUCAACUGAAUAGUCUAAAAAUAAAACGGCUGAAAAUAAAAUCUCAUAAAAAAUAAUGAUAGAAGACUUGAAUUUAAGGUCAGAGGUACUGAACGCUUACUCUAAAUAGUAAAAAGAAUUUUCUAUAAAAAUUUAUAAGCUGAUUUGAAUUUUUACAAUCCGGUUAAUUUACAAAUACAUACAUAUCUACAUUAAAAUUAUCAAUUUUGAGACCCUUUGAUACUAGCCAAAGAUGUCGAAAAUUCUGAAAUUUAAGAGUUUCCAAAUACUGUUUAAUAGUGUAGAUUAACUCUAAUGGCCGAUCGUCGAUUUGGAAGCCGCAUUCAUCGAAAACAAACUUGGUAGCAGGUAAGCCUCCGUGCCUACCGAUAGUAUAGCAGCUGAACUCUCUUCUCUCUCUCUCUCUCUCUCGCCUUCUCUCUCUCUCUCGCGUUCCCUCCAGUCAUCCUCUCUCUCUCUUCUCUAUUAUAUAUAUAUUUAUAGAGUCCGCCGGCUGCUAUCUAUUGAUAGGGGGCACCAACCACUUGUGCUAAUCAAGUUUUCUGGCGCCGUUAGAGUUAACCCCUUUGAUUAUUUUAACCGUUAGAUUAUACUAUUCACCAACUCACCCACCUCAACCUAAGGGCCCACAUCAGUCUAACGUUACAUUUUUUCAAUCCAAUUGGCUUAAAAAACUAAUAGGCACCAAAAGACUUGGUGCUAUUCGAUAGUAUUCCAGUCUAGUAUACUAUAUAUAUAGUAUAUAUAUAUAUAUAUUAUAUAUUAUCAUAUAUAGAAUACGCUACUAUGCUAUUUUAAUAGCACUUAAGUCAUUGGUGCACUAAUGAUUUUUGGCCAUUGAGAUCUAGCAGUAUGUGUGGUUAGGAUGAUGUGGGUCCACUAGGCUGAGUGGGGGUUGGUUGAUAGUAUGGACUAACGGUGAAAGAUCACAAAGGUAGAUCUAACGGCGGAAAACUGUAGUAUCCAAGUGCCUUGCGUGCUAUUAAUAGCAAUAGUAGCCGACUCUAUAUAAUAAUAUACUAUAUAUAUAGAGUAUAUGCCGGGCUACUAUACUCCUUGAUAGUAUAGACCCUUGUACUUAUAAAUUUUAACCAUUGAUUAAUGGGUUAUGGUAGGAUGAUGGUAGUACACACAACCGCACUUAAGAAUGAUAUGGUACCCAGGGGUUGAGUGGUAGUUUGGUUGGAAUCAGUAUGAAUCUAACGGAUAAAAAUGAUCAAUAAAAUAAAUGCUAAGGACGCGAAAGACUUAUAGUAUAUAGGAACCAAUACUCAUACAAGUAUAGUAGCGCAGACUCUCUCUCUCUCUCGACAGCUACUUGUGUCUCUCACCCAGGAUAAUCUCAUCUCUCUGCUCUCUCCUAUAUAUUAAUAUAUAUUAUAAUAUAUAGCCGUGAGGCUAACAAUAUGCUUUCGAAAGGCAAUGGAGCCUUUUUGUGUUUGCCAGUAUCGUUUUCGAUAGUUCGCGAUUUCGAAUGUCGGAUGGCUCCGUUAAACUUGAUUUAGAGUAUUUGACAAUACCUAGAAAAUAAACUUUAAAUGAUUUUUUGAUAUCAAAAUUUUGCCCUAGUGAAUCGAAGGAACUGCAAAUCAAUAAUUUUAAAGGCGCGUGGUGAGGCGUUUGCAAGUUUAAACGGUAAGACAAAUAUAUCAAUCACGUGCAAAUUUGAAUAGAAAAUUCUUUAAGCUAUAAUAAAACAAGAUCAAGAUUUUUGAUCUAGAAAUUUUAAUGUCAUAUAUCACGUUUUGUAAGAUUUAUUUUCAGCUGUGAUUUGAAUCCGCCUUAGUUCACAUAGGCAAAUUGAAUAUUGAAAAAUCAUACAAUUUAUUUUCUAGGUACUUUUCGAGUAACUUCCAAGAUUAGUUUAACGGAGCCAAUUCGACGAUGUCGAAAAGUUCUAUAUUAUAAUAUAUAGAUAUUAUAUAUAUAUAUAUUUAUAUAUAUAUAUAUAUAUAUAUAUAUAUAUAUAAUAUAUAUAUACUAUAUAUAUAUUCUACCACUACCUAGAGAGAGAGAGAGAGUACCUCCCCUAAACACUCUGUCUCUGUCGUAUUACUCUUUAUUAAAUAUUAAGGAGUGGGGUUAAAGAUGAAUAGAGUGUGGGAUAUACGGUUGUUAUCUGCAAAGGCAAUGCUGCUAUAUAUGUAGUACAUUUGUCCAAGGAUCACCUAAAAACCUAUAGACAAGGUAUAAAAUUUAUCUCUUCUAUAUAUUUACCUGCUAGUCUUAUUAAGUUUUUUAUAUCAAAAUAACAAUGCAUGUACAUUCCAAAAAAGGAUAUAAAUUUACACCCGACCAUCAAAAAGGCCCUUAAUUAUUGCAUUCUUGUCUCGUCAACAUUUUUCAAUUAUAUUAUUACAAAGGUUUUCAAGUCUGAAUCCUGCUAUGUUGCUAGUCUCGUUUUAUAAGAAAUUGUUAUUUAAAAGACCAUGAUUUUGAACACCUAGAUCUUCUGAUUGUCAUAGAACACAUCUAAUAAUUAGAUUCUAAACUUCAAAUGAUCUCUCGUAGAAUUUUAGAUGUGCGAUGUAUAAGAUAUAUCAAUAGGCAAUGUGUAGCGAAUAAUUUUUAGGGAGAAAGUGGGGUUUGAUUAGCUUCCCCACUCAUAAAAUGUUAUAUGAGGCAAGCUUGCCGAGAGCAGUACCGACUGCCUGCUGUACCGUCCCCAAGUCCUUGACGCUUGACCUGGUGGCAGCAGUUUUUACGAAAACAACGCCAGUGUCCGGUGACCACCGUUCGUUCGUAGUUCGUUCGCGCCAGUGUCCGGUCACUACCGUUCGUUCGUAGUUCGUUCGCACCUAACGUAGUUGGUUAAGAAUUUAAAACUAGGGCUACUAUACUCUUAUGAGUAUAGCUCAUUUUGUAUUCAUAAAUUUUUAAUUAUUGGAUAAAGAGAUGUGCGGUUAAGAUGAUAGCGGUCCCUUAAAAUUGAGUAGGUAGUUGGUUGAAUAGUAUGAUCUAACGGGUGGAAAUGAUCAAAAAAAUAGACCUAACGAUAAAAAAUUCAAGAGUAUAAAGGGCACUAUACCAAUAAGAGUAUAGUAGCCGGACUCAUAAUUUAAUGAUUAUUAUCUGAGUUGUCGAAUUCGAAAACUAGUUGUCCUCAUAGUAAAAUAAAAAUAAAAGGAUUAAUUGUAUACAGUUUUCUGUAAAUAUAUCGAAUGAUAAAUAAAUUCUUACAAAGUUCAAUUUUUUAUCUUUAUUCCUUUAAAAGUCUGAUGAUAUUGAUUUUGUUACCGUUAGAGCACAGUUUAUUUUUUUACAGUGGUUAAGUGAAAUGACAUUUUUAUCCUUAUAAAUUUAUCUCUCAAGAAAUUCCAACUGUUAGAAUUAUAUAGAAAUGUCAUCCUCAAAAAUAUUUUACCUAAUAAUAUAAAAGGGAUAAAAAAAAUCAAUUUAACUCAUUUACUAACUAAGAUUAAGUAUUUUACUAAUAGUUAACUAUAUUUUUCUAAUGGAUCCUAAUAGUAGGGGUAUAUUUGAAAACGAGAGGACUUUUGGAGGGAUAAAAGAUGAAAAUAAAAAAUUGAAAUUUGCAUAAAUAUCUGCUAUUCGAUAUAUGUACAGAAAGCUGUACGCAAUUAACCUAAAAUAAAAUUACAUGAUAAUUAAGUGUAAUAUUUUUGAACCACGGAAUAACAAAAUAAGAAUACGCUAAAUCACACAGAGUAGGGGAAAUUGAAGGUUUUUUCUUUAUUUAAUUCCCAUGUUAAGAAGAAUCACAGGAUAGGUGUGGACAAAGUGGUGUCGAGCUCGGGCCAAUGCUGCAGAUCUAAACUCAGACUUGGAUCAAAGAAAGAAUAUUGGAGAAUGGAGAUCCCAAGACAAGUUUGUGUGUGGUACCCAGCACACAUGCAUCAUGAUUCUACAUCGAGAUCCAACACAUAUACAUAUGUUCAAAAUUCAUAACACAACAAAAAGUCUCUUCCACAACAUAUUAUGUAGCAUCACAGAUCUAGAGAUCUAGAGAGAGAGAGAGAGAGAGAGAGAGAGAGAGAGAGAGAGAGAGUGUGGAGAAAUUAUUGCUUGGACUAUGAUCUACAUAUAUGUAGUACGAAGUUUCCAGAAACUCAAAUUUACAGAAUUUUAAAGUUAAAUGUAUACAAUUAGAUAAAAGGUACAACACAAAAGCUUCUAUCCUAAAAGUUAUACUCUUUUUACUUUCUAACUCAUAUUAGAGUUUUGAAUUAAUUUCAUACAGGUCUCUACUAGCAUAGUAAAUGACAAAUAUAUUUCUACAAAGUUCAACUUUUAUAUAUUGUCCAUACAAAAGUCUCGAUAUUUUCAAAUAUAUCCUUACCGUUAGAAUCCGUUAGAAAAAAUUAAUUCAAAACUCUAAUAUGAGUUAGAAAGUAAAAAGAGUUUUGAAUUAAUUUCAUACAGGUCUCUACUAGCAUAGUAAAUGACAAAUAUAUUUCUACAAAGUUCAACUUUUAUAUAUUGUCCAUACAAAAGUCUCGAUAUUUUCAAAUAUAUCCUUACCGUUAGAAUCCGUUAGAAAAAAUUAAUUAACCAUAGAUUAAAUACUUAACACUGGUUAGUUUUUGACAUUUUUCCUCUUUUUAUAUUAUAUUGUUAUGCCUUUUGGAGGGAUACAUUUGUGACAAUAAAAUUGAAAAUAUAAACAGUUUUAUAACGGUAAUAAACUAGAAGGAUAUAUCAGGGCUUUUAUAUGAAUAACAUAUAAAAGUUGAACUUUGUAGGGAUAUAUUUAUUAUUCAUUAUAUUUGUAGGGACCUGUAUGAAAUUAAUUCUAAAUCUUUUGACAAUAUCCCCAAUCAAAAGUUGGCUUAAAAGGCCGGAAUUUUGAUUUGUAUUUUUUUUUUUUUUUUUUUUUGAGAGAUAGAUAGCACGCUGUUCGUUUCGUUUAUUUCAUUUAGAAAUAAACUUGGUUGGAAAUGUGAAUCGACUAGGAUUUUGAUUUGUAUUUCAAAAUGGACUAAGCUAGAUAGGAAUCGAAUGAAACCCAAUCUAAGCAAAACUAAAUUGAAACGAGGCUUGACUAGAAUUAAACUGGAGCAUUAGCAUAAAAUUGCGGAUGGGAAAAUCGAACUCAGAAUCUCUUAAGAUGGAAGAAACGUAGGACAGGCUCUUAUACCAUAUUACGCAAAGGAUCAAUCCAGUAAUAAAUAAUCUAGAAUUCGUCUUAGCAAUUAACCUCCUUCUUUGGACAUCACGAGGUUCAUGAGCAUGGUUUAUCUAAUAUCCACGGUUCAUCUUAUAUUCACCAUGCAUGCGAUCAGAUUCGUAAUGACGAACUAAUCUUAAAUUGUUUCAUACUAAAUUGAUCUUUUGUAACAUUCAAGACAUCAAGCUUAGGAAUUUGGUAGAGGAGAGAGAGAGAGAGAGAGAGAGAGAGAGAGAGAGAGAGGGGUUUGUUAAUUAGGGUUUGUCUCUUCUUUGGUCCUCUUUCUAUAAAACCAAUUGCUUUUACUAUCUACUGCAGCAGCAGCAGGAAGCAGCAGCAGCAGCGCAUGGAGGGUCCUUUUUACACUGCCCAUUCCGCCAGUCUUCACAUGCCUCUCCAGGCCCCAUUCCCAGCCUGGGCCCCUGCUCCUACAAAGAGAAAUUGCUGCCCGCACCAACUGCACCACAUUACCUGUGACACACAUCCUUAGUUACAUUUUUUGUAUACAUGCAUGAUGCAUAUGCAUCUUAAAGAUCUUAAAGAUCAGAAGUAGUUUGAUCUCUUCCAUUGUAGAGCUUUUCUAGCGCUUCUAUAUGCUGCAAAAAAAUAAGAAUUGAGAUUCUAAUACCCAUAUAUACCCAUAUUCAGAAACUUCAAUUUGAUACUUCCACUGUUUUGCAAUAAAGAAGUCUUCGCAUUAACGUAAUCCCAAGGCAAACGUGCAGAGAGUAGUAUAUAUAAUUCGACUCGUAGGUGUUGAAUAUAAAAAUAUUAAAAAACUGUUCUUUAAGCUAUCGUUUAGUUCGGGAAAUAAGCUAUUUUAGGCUAUCCCUGGUAUAGGUACAACUUUAGUUAAUAACAAUUAGAUAAUUAAAUUAGUCAAAAUAUUAAUUAAUUAAUCAAUAUGAAUAUUGGUUAUGUCAAAUAAUUAAUUAAUUAAUUAAUAAUUAUUUAAUUAGCAAAUUAAUUAAAAUAAUAAAUUUAAUAACUCAAAUAGCUAAUUAAAUAUUUAUUAGAGUAAUAAAUUAAGUACUACAAUUAAUGAUUUUAUAAUAAAAAUAAUAUAUUAUAAUAUAUAACAUAUUAUGUCUAUAUAAUUUAAUUUUAAUUCAAUUUAUAAUUUAAUAAAACUUUGGAAUAGCAUUAUUCUACCAAAAUGGUAGAACAGUAAAUUACAAACUAUUCCGAAAUAGUCGGGAAUAGCAAUGUUUGAGCAGGAUAAAAUAUUUCAGCCCAAAUACACUCCGUUUGGUCGGAUAGUGGGAUAACUUUCGUUAUCCCUGUUUUAUCCCCGAACCAAACGGGGCCUGAUAGCUUAAAUUACAUGAAAAUAAUGUUUGCUUCAUGCAAUUUAACAUAGUAUCAGUGUAUGAGGUUCCGAAUUGGGAUUUCGUUUAAUUCAUAUCCCUAUAAAAAGUUUCAAUUUUAGAGGUGAAAAAGAGUGUUGAAUACAAAAAUAUAAAAGUACUGUUUUCUAACAGAUCAAAAUAUUGUAACACGCAUAUUUAUCUAACAAAUAAGCUUUUAUUUUUGAAGUAUAGGUGCACAUAUGGUGGUACAUCAAGUGCAAGCAAAAAUUUCUCCUACUACAGCAUUUCCCUUCUAAAAGGGAAAUUAGAGCUCUCAUUGCAUAUUCUCAAUACAAAUGGACCAAAUAGGUGUUCUAUAUAAUAAAAGAAAAAACUUCAAAUACCACCCUUAUGGUUUGGCACUUUUCGCUUUAGUACCCUGUGGUUUAAAAUGUAUCAAUUUAGUAUCCUGUGGUUUUGCAUUUUCUCACUUUAGUUCCCUGUGGUUUAAAGUAUAUCAAUUUAGUACUCUGUGGUUUCAUUUUUUUCUUUUCGUCUCAGCUCCUCUGUUAAUAUUUCUUUAAAUUAUAUACAAAAAACUUUAGAUACCCUGCAUAAGUUUAUUUAAUAUUUACUUUAGUACCCUUUUGUUUUAACUUUGUCACUGAUUUUUUUUUCCUCCAUUAAUAUUUCAUUAAAUUAUAUACGAAAAACUUCAGAUACCCUACAUAGGUUUAUCGAAUAUUUACAUUAGUACCCUUUAGUUUUAACUCUAUCACUGAUUUAAUGAAAAAAAAAAUAGUGAAAUAGAUAAUAAAAAGAAAAAAAUAAAACCACAGGGUACUAACUUGAUACACUUUAAACUAUAGGAUAUUCAAGUGAGAAAGUGCGAAGCCACAGGGGUUAAAUUGAUACAUUUUAAACCACAAAGUACUAAAGUGAGAAAGUGUGAAACCAAGUGCAGGUAUUUGAAGUUUACCCAUAAUAAAAAGAGUGAGAGUGUGUUGAGUACUUUAGAAAUUCUCUGUGUAGUAGUAGUAGGUUCCUUAGAAGGCUCUGUGUACAAAGUUGAGAGGGACGUAAAGCAAAACCCUUUUUCUUUUGCAGAGAGAGGCAUCAAAAGGGUGCAGGGGGGAGAUAAUGAGCAUGCAAAAUUUCAAUACAAAAGAAGAGUGGACAUGUAAAAUAAAAUACAAAAAAUAAAAAAAAGUAUUUUGUGUGCUUAGACACACUUUUUUGUCAGGUUUUUUAGUACAAUAAUUUUUUCCUAAAAUUUUAUUCUACAAAUAGAAAUGUUAAAUUUUUAUUUAUAAAUAUGGUCUUAUAAAAGCGGUGAAUGGUUCACCGCUUUUAUUCUUUUUUCACUCCUAAUGAGAAGUAAUGAAUACGGCGAAUCAUUCACCGCAUUUAGAAUUCUAUUUUUAUAAUUAUUUUUUAACAAAAAUUAUUUUUAUAAUUAUAAAAAUCGAUAGGAUUAUUUAUAAAUAAAAUUCCUUUUUUGUCUCUAUGCAACUCAGAACUUUGUCCUUUCCUUCGCACGCAAUGUUUUGAGGGGGAGUGCAUGGUCUUGACCGAAUCAUGUUGUUGUCAACAGGUUAAGCUGGAUCCAAUACAUUAGGGUGAUGAUAUGGUCAAUUUGGAGUGUUGUUUAUACAUAAAAACCUAAAUUUGGAACAUAGGUGCAUGUUUGUAAUUUACAUGUAUAUUAUUUUGUAGACAAUUAUUCAUUUGCAUUUUACGAACCGGUGGUCUGGUUGAAAAGUAUCAUCGGAUUCAUCGAGUCGUGCUUUUAACAAACAUUUGAAUGCUUAAAUAUGUGACUUUUUUUUUAUAGUUGCGUACUCUGGAGCUGGGAUAUCAACUACUAAGACUUUCGCAAGUUGCCCUACAAAUAAUACCAUAAAUUAGAAUGAACAACAGAGAAUUCCAGUGUGAGAAUAACUGAGUUCGAGUCACGCCCAUCCCUAAAUUGCUAUGACAAAAUUGAGCCACUGUAGGAGAUACUUGAGUUCUAGUUCCUGCAGUAAGGUAAGGUUCAGAUGCAGAGAAAAAGGCAAUCUAUAUGUUAUUAAGAUAAAAACAUCCGGGUCUUACCUAAAUUACGGAUCAUUUGAAUUUGAUUACUGAAUCUUUCAAAAUUUAGAUUUUAUUAUCUAAUUUUUCAAUUUAUUUUAGUUGAGUCGGUCAAUAGGACUUUGGCUCUAAAAUUUAAAUUAAUUACUUAUUUUUAUAAACUUAUAAUUAUAAAAAUUAUAUAAAAUAUAGUAACUAAAUUUGUAAAGAUAAAAAACACGCAUUCAAGUUUUAAAAUCAAAGUAUUGUUGACUGACUCAAAUCAAAUAAAUCGAAAGAUUAGAUAAUAUAAUUAAAAUUUUAAAAAGUUGGAUAGCUAGAUCCAAAUAAUCUAUAGUUUAACUAAGAUUCAUACGUUUUUAUCUAUUAUUAAAAUAAACUGAAAAAUCAAGAAGAAAAUGAGGUACCUAUCAAACUUGAGGCACCAAUAAUUUCAUUCAUUAUAUAUAUGAUGGGACCAAUAACAAAUUAAAUUUUCAUAUUUCAAAAACCAUCACUAAAAUUUAGUUUGGUACCAAAAUUCGUGUUUAUUUCUCUUGGCUUCUUCCUUUGGUGGGUCACGUACGAAAAUGUUUCUUUCUUUUCCAAACUGGAAAAAUUUUCUCCAUUUAUAUAAAUGAAAUAUUAGUUGUCUUUAGAACCGUAUUGGUGUUUUAAAUGUCAACUCUGUCCCUCUAGAUUGUGCUAUGUACUAUGACAAUUCAUUUAAUUAAUUUUGUCUCUCACUAAAAGUAGAUACAAAACUGUAACUAUUCAAAAGGAGAUGAACGAAACAAGAAGAGAUAGUAGAUCCAAAAGAUAAUUACUCGCGCUGAUCGUACCUAGCUAGUGCAGUUGAUCGAGGGUCUGAUAGCCCCUAUCUAAAGUUAUAAAUUCGAAAUUUAGUUAUUUUAUAUUUUUAGCUGAGUUCAUAAAUAUAUAUNGGAGAUUUAUAAACUUCACACAUGAUUUAUGAAUAAAUUAUUUGCACUACUUGUUCGCGAAGCUUAGUUUUGAUAAAUCCAACAUUACAGAUCUCAAAAUUUCUGAAUUAUUUUACUUUAUUUUCUACUUUUGUGAAACAUUUGAUUCAUCUGUACAUUCGUUCUCCGUGAAUUUAUGGGCAUUUCAUUUAUCUCAUUUUUGUUCGUCGUUUGCUUUCCAAUAUUAAAAGAACCAUAAUUCGCUAUGUAAUAAGAUUGAAAUAUGAGAUGAGAAAGUGUUUGUAGUCAACAAAUAUAAGUAUAUAGCCACCCCCUGUUUAAGCAAAUAUUUUUCUAAUAUAAAUAAAUAAGAACACGAGUUCAUAUAACUUUUUUUUAGAAAUUUAGAAUAUCAAAUAUCAAAUUUUAAAUUCGAGACCUAUAGUAUAGUUAUUUUGAAUAUGAAAGAUAGAAAUAUUAUUUUCUAGAAGUUUAAGCUUUCAAAAAUAUAAUUUGCUAAAAUUCAGAUAUAAAAAAAUAAUUUUAUCCUAUUUAACAAAGAAAAAUACUACUUGUAUAUCUAUAUACAAGUGUCAUUGAUAUAACUUCUUUUUUCUAAAAUGUAUAAAUAAUAAUUUUUUAAAUAACUCUUUAGAAUAUAUAAAAUAUAAAAUAUAUUUUUAGUCUAAAUAGGUGUUUGGUCUAACUUUUGAAAAAUAAUUUUAGGUCCAAAAGUAAUUUUCGGCUUAAUAGAGCGUUUAACAACUUCACUCAGUUUUCUAGUUUUCAAGCCCCAAAAUUAGAAACAACUAACACUUUGAUUUUGAAAUCUGAUUUUGAUUUCAAACACAAGGUUAAAUUUAUAUUUUAUAUUUUAUAUUUAAAUUCUUUUAAUUUAAAAUUUUAACUUUUAAAUUUUGAAUUGUAAAGUUUAAAUUUUAGAUAUUAAAGUUCAAAUCAAAUUUUAAAUUUCAAAUUAAAAAUUAAGAUAAAAUUUAAUUUUUUUAAAAAAAAUUAGAAUUUAAAAUGUGUAAUAUAAAAUUAUAAAUUUUGAUUUUCAAAAUUGAAAUUUCAAAUUUCUAAAAUUACAAAUUUAAAUUUUAAAUUUGUAAUUUUAAAUUAUAAAAUAUAAAUUUUAAUUUUAAAUGUUAAAUAUUCAAAUUUUAAAUUUUAAUUUCAAGUUUCAAAUAUAAAUUUUAAAUCCUAAAUUGAAAAAUUAAGUUUAAAUUUAAAAAAAUAAUUUUAAAAUAAUUUAUUUUUUAUAUUUUAUUAUAUUUUAAAUUAAAAUAUCGAAAUUCAGAUAUUUUUGCAAACUUAAAAUUUAAAAUUUCGGUUCAAAAUUUUAAUUUAAAUUGAAAUUGUAAAGUAUUUUAAAAUAAAAUUCAUAAAAAAAUUAUUGUUUACAAAUAGUAAAAAAUUUUUGCCAGAACAGUUUCUGUGAAAAGUUACUUUACAUAUAAACCCAACCAAGUACUGUACAACUUUUAACAAAAACUAAUUCUCAAAAUUGAAAUUAAUUUUACAAAAAUUUAUUUUUUUGAGAAUCUAUUCGAGGGCCUGGCCAAAUGUGUUCUAUAAGUGCGGACAGACAGCACGAGGAUGCCGAUUUGCUCUACAUCGACAAGCCAGCUGUCAUCCGAAUAUAAAUAUUUUUUAUUUUUAUUUUUAUUUUUUUUGGAUAUCAGUUUGACUUGUCAACCGCAUAAGACAAGUUCUUCUUUUUCUUGCGUGAGAAAAGCAAAGGACAUUGUCACUUUGUCCCUCGAAGAUCCUCAAUAGUCAACAUGGAACGUAGGUUUACUUAUUUAAUAAUAAUAACAAAUUAUCUUAAAAUUUUAUUUAUAUAUAUAUUUUUUUAUUAGGGAUGUACAUUUUACGCGACCUCUCAGUAAUAUAUUCACGAAAAUUUUAAUAAGUUUUAGGCUUCGUUUGAUUCGGAGUUAAGUAGAAACUAAUUAUUUCAGGAAUAGGGUUAAGUUCAGGGUUAAGAUAAGGUUAGAAAAUUUUUUUAUUUGGUUGAGAAUUGGGUUUAGUUCAGAUAUAAACAAAAUAGUGUUUGGUUGGAAUAGGUGGAAUAAAAAGGUUAGUGGGUAGUUAUAAAUAUAAAAUAAUAAUUUUGCCCAAAUUAUUAUAUUUGAAUUUAAAUUUUUUAUUUUAUAUUUAAAAUUUUAAAUUUAAAUAGAUAAUUUUUAAAAUUAAAAAUUCAAAAUUAAACCCUAUAUUUUUAAAUCUCAAAUUUAAAAUUUUAAAUAUAAAAUAUUAAAAUUUUUAAGAUUAUAAAUUAUAAAUUUUUAAAAUUUCAAAUAUAAAAUAUUAAAUUUAAAAUUUAAAUAAUUAAAAAUAACAAUUUAAAAUUUAACAUUUUAAAAAAUAAAUAUUAAUUUUAAGAUUGCAAAUUAUACAUUUUUAAAAUUUUAAAUGUAAAAUGUCAAAUUUAAAAUUUAAAUAAGUAAAAAUAAAAUUUAAAAUUUAAAAUUUAAAAAUAAUAAUAUAAAUUUUUAGAUUAAAAUUUAUAAAUUUUUAAAAUUUAAAAAAUAGAAAUUUAUAUUUAUAUUUAAAAAUUAAAUUAGGGUGGAUUAACUUAAUCCCAUCCCAAUCUAUUGAAAGAUUAAGGUGUAUGGUUUAGGGGACAAAAAUUUUGUGGGCACCGUCCCCAAACUGACAGUGCGGAUGGGCGCCAUGUGGCCUGUCCAACGGCCACCCAGGAAAGAAAAAAAAAAUAAAAAAUUAGCGCUAUAAACAGUGUUUAUAGAGAGAAAGUAGUAGAGGAAGUGAAAAGACAACCACCCGAUGAGUCACAUGGCGUCCAUCCGCACAGUCUCCUCAAACUAUUAGUCAUCUAAAUUUUUAAAAUUUUUAUUUUACUAUCUAAUUUUUUAAUUUGUUUGAUUUGAAUCAGUCGAUAGCACUCUGACUUCAAAUUUAAUAAUGGACUAUUUUGAAUUGACUUUUAAAAUUUUACUUUUAUUAUCUAAUCUUUUAAUUUAUUUGAGUUAAGUCGGUACUCAAUAAUACUUUGGCUUCAAAUUUUAAGUAAAUUACUUAGUUUAGUAAAUUUAAAGUUGCAAAAAUUGUAUGAAGUAUACUAACUAAACCUAUAAAGAUAUACGUUAUAUUUGAAUUUUGAAGUCAAAAUGCCAUUGAAUGAAUUAAAUCAAAAAUUGAAAUACUGGAUAGUAAAACUAAAAUUUUGAAAAUUAAGUAGCCAAUUGAAAAUGGUCCAUUAUUCGGAUAAAUUCUAUACUUUUUUAUUAAAUUUUGUAUAAAGUUAGACAUUAAGAGUUCAUAUUUUGAUCCUCAAAAUAUUUUAACUUUUAUAAUUUUGUUAGAAAGCAUAUUUUUUCUAAGAGCGUUUUAUCUUAUCCUCAAAAAAAGAGUGAUGGUGAUAUAUUGUAUAAUCAUUUAAACAUUUAAUCACACGUCUCAUUUACCAAAUAUUUUAAAUAUUUCCUGUGAAAAGUAUAUCGCAGGAAUACAUCAAAUAACUUGUUCCUAUAAUCAAAUAGCGCAUACUAAGUCAUAAUUAUUAUCAAUUUUUAGGAUAACUGUUGUAUUUGGUAAUAUUAAAAAUAUCUUCUAAAAUGUGUAAAAGCUUUUUAAAAAAUAACUAAUUUUUUACACGAUAGAGCAUGAAAUGAAAUGCUGAGCUCGAAUUCUUAUGAUAGACUCUCAGUUUAAUUUAAUUUUAUCAUAUUCUUCUAUUUUAUUUAAGUUCACAUGUUACAUCUCUCCGAAAUGUAGAAAUGUAUUAAAUGCGGGUUCUCCAACUUAUUUAAUUGUCAAUUCUUAUAAUAUUAUUGUACAUAUAGCUACUGUUUUCUACUAUAGUAAAGGAGGGUUUGCGGGGACCGUAGAAUGACACAUGUCCCCGCGGCCCUCCCUUUUUCUCUCUUCCUCUAUAAAUAUAACAAUAUAUAAUAUAUAAAUUUUUAAAUUUUAAAUUUUGGAUAUCAAAAUUUUUAAUUUUUAAUUUUUAAUUUCAAAUUUGAAAGUUUCAAAUUCCAAAUUUCAUGUUUCAAAUUCCAAAUUCGUAAAAUUUUCUAAUAUUAUUUUCAAAUUUUAAACUUCAAUUUUAAAUUUUUAAAUCUCUAAACCCCAAAACCUUAAACCCUGAACCCUAUAAAAAAAUUAAUUAACUGUAUAUAUAAAAUAAUUAAUUAAUUUUAUUAAUAGUAUAUUUAAUAAAUUACAUUAUGAAAUCUAAUCCAAUGGAUACCUAAAUCACGUAAAAUGUCAAUGUAUAAAACAAAAUUGCAGAAUUUAAAUUUCUAGAAUAAAAUAUUAGAAAUAUAGUUUGUUUCUGUAUAUAUAUAAUUAAUUAAUUUUAUUAAGCAAUUUCUUCCACUAUUUUAUUUCUCUUUUAUUUAUUGAUGUAUUUAAAUUAUUUUAAUAGAUUUUUCUCAAAUCUUUUUUACAUAAAUCUUUAUGAAACAAUUUAAUUACUAAUAAGCUGUAAUACAAAUUUACGUUUGCUGCACAUAUACCAAUUUUAAUCAGUUUUAUUUUAAUAGAUAUAUAUAUAUUAAGUUAUUAUCCACGCCGGUGAUUUCAUUUGAAUAUUAAUUAUUAUAUAUUUUAAUAUUUAAAUAUUAAAAUUUAAUUAAAUAAAUAUGAUCUAGGGAUUUCUCGCAUUGGAUUACAUUUUAAUAAGUUUUGAGAAAAGAAAAUCUAUUUACUGAAUAUCAAAUAGUUCUCCCGUGAAUAACACGCAAAUAUUAUAAUUGUAUAAAAAAAUAGAAAAAUCAAAAUAUAUAACAGUAUUAUUACCUCAAAUACGUACGCUGAAAUAUAUAAAUUUACCAAAACUAUCACCUGCUAUCUUUUGAUUUGACUAUCUAAUCUUUAUAACUUUUUUUUUUUACUAUCUAAUCUUUUAAUUUACUUAAUUUGAGUCAAUUAGUGACUUUUUAACUUAAAAAUUUGAAUACAAUAUUGUUUAUCUCUAUGGGGUUUAGUUAAUAUAUUUUAUGCCAUUUGCGCAAUUAUAAAUUUAUUAAAAUAAUUUGUAUAAAUUUUGUAUUCAAAGAGCCAUCAAAUUAUUUAAAUUAAAUAAAUUCACAUGUUAGACACUAAAAUCAAAAUUUUAAAAGUUUGGACAGUCGAAUCAAAAUGAUCUAUUGUCCAUGUAAAUUCUAUAUAUUUUUUUCAUCUGUUGUCUUUAAAAUUUUCGACCUUAUAACCAACUUUCAAACAUUUUAGCCUAUUAAUCAGGUAUUUCACUAACAAAAAUUCUUAAUAUUUAAAGGCUAAAAUAUAUAAAAUUUUUCUGUAAAUGUCUUUUUUUAAUUGUUUCCUCUUAAAGUUCAAAAAUCUAUAGUUUGACUCAUUCAAAUUACAUGAGUAUUUUCAGUAGAAUACAAUAUUAAUGAAGAGAAUGCAGUGACCAAAUUCUCCAUAUUUGUUUUACAAGAUAAAAAUAAUUUUAAUAUAUUUUUCUUAUUUUUCAAUAUAAUUUUAGUGUAUUAUGAAAUUAAUAAAAUAAUGAUAGAAUUCUAACGGAGAAAUACUAAAUUUAUUAAUUUAAAAUUUUAAGAGGAUAAAUUAUAAGAAAUGCAGAUUAUUGAAAUUAAAAAAAAAAGGUAUAAAAACCGUGUAUUUUCAUAAUAGUGUUAUGCAUUUUAACCAUAUUUAAAUUUUAUUUUUUAAAAAAAUAUUGAAAGAAUUAUUAUUAUUAUUAUUGACAAAGUAUGCAUGGAGGGGAUACGGCGAUACGCAUACUACAGAAUCUCUUUGACUACGACGCUAAUAAUAAUUCCUACACUUUUUGGACCGAUGUGAUGGGACUUGGAGGGGCAAUUUCGUCAUUUCGCAAGUCUUUUAAAAAAAAGGGGAAAAAGAAAGGAAGAGGCGGGUCCCACUCCCCGCGAACGGGAGCGCGCCUCCGCCGUUACGGUCGGAUUUGUGGCGGGAAGAGAUCGCCGCGCGCCACGUGGCACCACGAAACGCGUCUUUUUUCCCCGUCCUGUUUCGCGCGCCGGAACCGUACGGACGCCCCCAAAAAAGCCCCAAAAGAAAAAUUGAAAAAAGCGCUCGCGGGCGCAGAUCCGGCCGUCCGAAGGAGGAGAGGAGAGGACACGUGGACGGUCGCGAUCGGGAGGGAUUAGCUGGACAGCAGGAUGGCCACGUGGGCUCCGGGUGUUUCGAACGGCGGGACGGCCACGUCACGAUGACGGCAGCAGUCGCGACGUCAGAGUCUUGAUCGGCCUCCGGAGGGGAGAAUGGACGGACGAGAUCUCGAGGCGAGGGUAAAAGGACGGACGAGGCGCGUUGUCCCCCCACAUCGACCAUGGCGAACCCCAAAGAUCGUAAGGGCUGAUAUUCUCACGCCGCCCUGUUUAUCCUAACAUCGCGCUUAAUCCUACGUAGAGUAUCCCACUUUAGUAGUCGUAUAAUAAUCUAAAAAAUACGGAGUAACGAUAUCCGCUCCCGGUGGGGCCCGCAGUACACCUCUGUCGGGGGACCACGUGUCGUGUUUUCAUUAGCUAGCGACGUCCUUGGAAACACGAUCGAGAAUUAGGGAACCAAAAAGAUUUGCAGCCGCGAAAUUCCCAUUAUACCCCUCACACAACACUCCAUUAAUCACGACCGUUCAAUCACUAUAUAAAUAUUAUCACUGUACUAUAGCUUAUCAUUCCAUACCUAAACUCAAAUACAAACGUCUUUAAUUUAAUACAUUUACCUAUCGGAUUCUAACAGCAAUGACAGCAUGUUUAAAAAUAUUAAUAUUUUUAUAAGAAUAAUAUAGAAAGUUAAAUUUUGUAAUAAUAUAUUUAUAAUUUAUUGUGUUUGCAAAAAACUGUAUGCAAUUAACUUUUUUUUUUAUGCACUGUAGUUGCAUGUUUGAUUUUGUGCGGUUCAAUUUAACUAAUGCAGAUACAUGCAAUUUUAACUUAUACUGUAUUUUAAAUAACAUGCAACCAAACAGCUUCUUGUAGGCUAUUGCAAAACAAGCGCAUUACAAAAAAUAUAGAUCAACAACCCACCACCACACAUUUAUACUUAUAACAUUAUUUCUCCUACUAAAAUUAUGACAACUUCUUCAUUAAUUGUUGAAUGUGAACUCUAUCACAAACCUACUCAAUUCGUUACUCUUCUUUUUUCGGCUAUUACCUUCGUUCAUCAUCGGUAAAAUAAAUCACACCCAUUAACAUCACUUUUUUCACCGUUGUUUUCUUCUUUUUUUUCCGACGUUUUUUAUCCGUCGCAUAGCACGGUUAUUACGCUAGCGGGCAUCAUUAAGACAAAAAAUAACAGAUUAAUUGUACGGUGACUAAUGAUAAGAAAAAAAUAAUUACGGAUUACCAUUCCUUAAAUAUUGCAUCAUUAAAAGAAUUAUUAUUGUUAUUUAUAAAUAGAGACUGAGAGGAACAAAAAGAGAGACGAUAAUUUAAAAAAGCCCAAAAUCUAUACUGAGUGCCAGAAAGAUCUAGAAGCUUCAAAUCGCCCGGGAAAUGUUUACGAACACGAUCCAUCUUCACCGGUGUCUAUACGCGCUGUACAGCGGCUCUCCGCUAGCCGGCGCCGUUUCGAAGGCGGCGGCUCAUCGCGAGCCGGCUCCGGCUCCUUUUCGGGGAACGGCGGCGGCGCGGCGGAGGGAGACGAUUUUUGGGUGUCGCAGCUACCGCAGGCGGCGGCGGCGGCGUCGAGGACGCCGACGGGGCUCGGCGGCGGCGUCGGCUCCGGCUCCGGCUCAGGCUCCGGCUCGGGGAUCGGCUUCAGGCGCCGAUGAGCGGAAGGACACGUGUCGAUCAGGUACUCCUCCAUUAGCUGGCGACAACCGCGCACCACGUCCUGCGAAGCAUAUAGUUUUUAGUACCAGUACUUUGAGGGGCGGUGAUAAUACCCCAAAUUUUUUUUUUUUAUAAAAAAGUAAAUAGCUAAAAUAUUAUAUAUAUNUCCGAUAGCAUAGUAGCCUCACUCUAUAUAUAUAUAUAUAUAUAUAUAUAUAUAUAUAUAUAUAUAUAUAUAUAUAUAUAUAUAUUUGUUCUUCGAAUUGAGUAGAUAUGGUUGCGUCGGUUCACCGCAUCCAAAGUUACCACCGCACCACGUUCUCAUAUUUGGAUAAAAUGCAAAAGAAGCCCUGCACUUUCAAGCAAUUGCACCCUCCCAUGCAAAAGAUUUGUAGCCAACCAAUGUGUUAAAUUUUAGAGAAUAAGUAUAAAAAGUUAUCGUUCGAAUUUUAAAUACUUCGCAAAUGAUUUGAUUUUAAUCAUCCUCCACAAUAGACGUUGGAUUGAGAGUGCUAGGACUAUAUGCAUUUUGCUUUUUAUUAAUGAUUUUAUUGUAUCCUAUAUAUUUAUAUGUAUGACAUCGUAAAAUUAUUUUUCAAAAAUUUUAAAAAAUUUAUCUUUUUAUGUAAAAUAUCAAAAUACCGAAGAUUUGGAUGCAUGCAGGAAUUGAGACCGCAACCGAAUAGCCCCUAACUUUUAUCUGCAUAUUUGUGAUGGAAAUUGAUAUUUCCAAUGCUAAUUUUAUAUUUGAUAGAACAAAUUUAAAUCAUGAUUAAACACAAUAUACUUAUUUUUUGGGGGGUCAUGUACUCAUGUUAAGAUGAUAAUCUACUACAUGUUAUUAGCUUUUAGCUGAUGAAAAAUUCAAUUUCAUUAAUCAUCAAUCACUACUGAUAGGUGAUCAAAUGAUUAAUUUUAGAAAGAUAUAUUUAACUAAAGUUAACCCAAGGAAGCAAUUAAAAGUCAAAAAAGUUUCAAUAAAAAUUUAAAAAGAGAGGUUUAUUUAUUUAUUUAAAAAUAGACUUUAGUUGCCAGGUCACCACCAUAGAUUCAACCUUUCUUUUUUAUUAAUAAUAAAGUAUUGCCUCUUCUCACUUUGCAAAAUAAAGGAAAUUAUAAUAUCUUCGCAUUAAAAUUUUGAGACAUUCUUAUUGACCCCAAAAAGUGUAACUUUAAUUUUUUUUAAGGUAAAAACCUUAAAUUAAACUAAUGAGUUUUUAAUUUAUAUUCGAAACAAAUCACGCAGAGAUGCAGCGCUCGGUUCAUGAAAUAACUUGUGUACUGUACUACAUAUCAGGGUCUUAAAAAAAAAAAAAAAAGGAAAAAAAGAAGAGAAAUAUAUAUAAAUCCGUUUCCAGUUUUAAUUAAAAGAAAAAAAAUAAUAAUAAGAAGACAAGUGGUGGGUUGAUGCAAAAGUUUAAGAGGACCAAAGUGUGGGACAGGAAAUGGUGUGAGGACCGACGUGCAAAUUUAGCCAGAGAGAAGAAGAGGACAAAAAAAGUGAAGGGAAGGAGAAAAAAAAAGGUUUAAUCUUACCUUGCUGACCCACUUGGCCAAAGAGGUCGCCAAUUCGUCGCCGUCGCAGCCGGGCGAGGAAUCGCCGAUCUCGCGCGCCGCGCACAGCACCGCCGACGCCGCGAUCUCCGACGCCCGAUACCCCAAAAAAUCCACCACUACGUACACCAAAACAUCAAUUAAUUAAUUAAUUAAUUAAUUCCAACAACAUUAAUCAUUAAUACAUGGAUGGAUCGAUCGAGAGAGAGAGAGGGAGAGAGAAAUUGGGGGGGGGACGCACCGCGGUGGGCGUUGAGGACGAGGGAGGAGGCGCGGGCGAGGAGGAGAGGGGGAAGGGGGGGGCGGCGUGGAGCGAAGUGGGGGAGGUAGUCGAAGGGGGUGGGGGAGCGCAUGCGCCAGGCGAGGGCGGACAUGAGGAGCAGCUCCAUGCGGCGCACCGUGCGGGGGUCGAACACGCGCCGCGGGCCCUCCUCCGCCGUCUGCAGCUCCAGCAGACCCGGCACCUGCGUCUCCUCCAUCUUCGCCGCCACCCACACGCUCGCCACCGACACCAGCUCCGUCGCCCACCCCUCCCCUCCCCCCUUCAUUUUCAAAACACCCAAAAAUAAAAAUAAUAAUAAUAAUAAUUUAAAAACUUUAAAAUAGAGGAGGAACACGUACCAACUACCAACACCCAAAAAAACAAAAAAAAAAAAAAGGAAAAGAAGAAAAAGAAUUGAAUACGUAGGUUAAUUGGAUGGUUACCGGGAGGGCGCGGGAGGAGAGGAAGCGGUCGAGGUAGCUGACGGCGAGGCACGGCGUGACGGGGCGGAAACGGUAGAGCUCGCAGACCUUGAGGAUCCAGUUGACGGCGUCGUGACGGGAGGUGGCGUCGAGGGAGCGGUCGCGGAGGCGGGAGAGGUAGUCGGGGCGGGGGGAGUGGUGGGGCUCGGCGGCGAGCAUGACCGACACGUGGCGGUCGUCGGGGGCCCGCCACUCGUCGCCGUCGAACGGCGCGGGCGAGGGCGAGGGCGAGGGGGAGGUGGGAGUGGAGACGAUGGGAUGGGGAUGGGGAUCGGGAUCGUGCGGCUCCCAGGAGGCCACGUCGUCGGCGUCCUCGGCGCAGAGGAGGAGGAGGUUAGAGGAGGCGGAGGAGGGGUCCGAGGGGGAGAGCGCCAUGGGGAAACGGGGCGGCGGCGGCGGGGGGAAACGGAACGGGGCUUAGGGAAAGGGAAGCGGCGGGGUCAUGGGCGUUUCCCGUGGCGAGGAAACGGGAGACGGGGUCGGGCAUGGAAAGAGAAAGAGAAAGAGAAAGAGACACCCUCUCUCUCUCUCUCUCUCUUCUUUCUCUCUCUACUCUCUUCUUUCUCUCUCUACUCUACACUACUCUACUCUCUCUCUUUGGAGUAGCGUCUUAGUGUGUGCGUGGUCUUUUUGACGGCGUCGGGGGCAAGGGCGUGAAAAAAGAGACGGAGGUGUUUCUGCGUGGACCGCAGAGCGGAAGCGGUUUCGGUUGGGUAUUUAUAGCAUCUUGUUUCCUUUAUAUGCUUCUUUAUAUAUACGGAAAACUUUAAAUACCACCCCCUCUAGUUUUACACCUUUUUUAAUUUAGUACUCUAUAAUUUAAAAUAUAUUAUUUUUUAUCUUAUAAAUUUAUUUUUCGCUUUCUUUCUGAUAUUCACUCUAUUAAUUUUUUUUUAUUAAAUCAGUGAUAAAUUUAAAAUUAUAGAAUAUUAAAGUAAAAAAUUUAAUUAAUCACAGGAGUAUUAAAGUGAUUAUUCAAUUAAACAUAGCUGGGAGAUUAUAAGUUUUUUGUAUAUGAUUUAACGAAGAGUUAAUAAAAACGUUGACGAAAAGAAAAAAAUGAAAGCAAUUGUAUUAGAGUGAUAGUUUCUAGGUCAUGCGAAUUAAGUGGGCCAAUUUAAUAUUGUAAUUGAACCCUGACUAAAAAAAUAAACGGAGCAAUCAUUGAAUUUCGGCGAAAUAAACAAACUUUUAAAUAUAGAGUAUUAAAGUAAGAAAAUACGAGACUCCAGUGAUGACAUUUGAAGUUUACUCUUAUAUAUUCGAAUAAAUGAUGGAAAAUAUGAUAUGAUAUGAUAUGAUAUGCUCUUGAGGCACCAUUUUUUCAUGUAGAUCCCUCUAAAAAAUGAGAAUACCAUUUCUAUUGGCUUAGUUUCGAACCCGUUCCUCUGUUGUUCUCCUUGCAGUUUAGUCUCAAUAAUUUCAUACUGGAUGAGAAAAAAUUUAUGUAUAAAAAAUAUGAGGAUCAUGAAUCCUAAUAUAUACUAAUAAGUAAUUUUAAGUAUUUUGUACUAGUGAUUUAGUUCCGAUAAAUUAUUAGUCGAUAAGUUAUUAGUGCUAAUAGGUCAAAUCAUUACAUUAUGUCUCGAUUCAUAUCAACUAAUUUAAUUCUCCUUUGUAGUUUAGAGCUUGUUUGAUUUGGGGAAUCCCAAAAACAAAUUUACUUAUUUCAAAGAUAUUGUAGGCCUCGGUAUUUGCUCUCGCACUGAAAUCAUAAGAUCAUUCAAACCGCCGCUCAUAAUUAUAUGGAAAUUAGUUUUUCAAUUUCAAAUUUGUGAAAUUUACAAAUUUUAUUUUUUGUUUAAUUUCCUUCAAAAAGUCUCUUAGGGCGUGUUUGAUUCACCCCUUUUUCACCUGGAAUUGGAAUCAGAAUCGGAAUGGAUGAAUCCAUUUAUCCUUGCUUGAUAUAUGGAAUUUUCAUUCCGAUUUCGAUUUCUGGGUGAAUGAGAAUCCCUCCAAUUAUCCCUUUUUCCAAUCCAGCUUAAAAGGCCAUAUUAAAAAUUAAUUCCGAGCGGAAUGGAUUUGUUCAGCUUAAAUUUAACUUUGUUGAGUUUAUUUUUUAAUUAAAAUAUAAGUUUAAGAUUAAAAAUUAAAAUUCGAUCAAGUAUUUCGAAUCUAAUUUAUAAAUUUAAAUUUAAUUUAAAAUCUAAAGUUUUAUUCAAUUUUUAUUUAAAAUUUAAAUUUAAUUUAUGGAUCCAAAUUUAAAAUUUAAAUUAUAAUUUUUUAAGUUUGAAUUUGAACAAAUCGAAAUUUAGUUUUAUAUUUUGAAUUAUCCGUUCAAUUGCAAAUUUUAAUUUUUUUUAAAAAUAUAUUUAAAAUUUUGACAUUAUUUUAAAAUUUUAACGUAAAUUUUUUAAUAUUUAAUUUUCAGUUUGAAUUUAAACGAAUAUAUUAUAAAGAUAAAAUUGACAUAUUAAUUUAAUUACAUUUUUUAUAUCUAUCUGAACCAAACACCGAUAAUGAGAAUCGUUAAUUCCGAUGCCGAUUCAGAUGACGAACCAAGUAGAAGGAGAUAAUAAAUUAUUCUGAUUCUGUUUCCAACUUAUUCUCAUUCCUAUUUCGAAACAAACACAUUCCGGGGUAUGUUUUUAACUUUGCCGGCUCUUUUUGGAAAUUGUUAUUUGACUGUUUGCAACUUUGAUUUUAAUCUAGGAAAAACUUCAAAUACUCCCUUGUGGUUUCACUUUUUCUCACUUUAGUACCCUGUGUUUAAAGUGUAUCAAAUUAGUACUAUGUGAUUUUGCACUUUUUCACUUUAGUACUCUGUGGUUUAAAGUGUAUUAAAUUAGUAUCCUGUGAUUUCGCACUUUCUUACUUUAAACCACAGAGUACUAACUUAAUACAAAAGUAAAACCACAGGAUGCUAACUUGAUAUAAAAAUAAAAUCAUAGAGUACUAACUUGAUACACUUUAAAUCACAGGGUACUAAUUUGAUAUACUUUAAAUCACAGAGUACUAAAAUAAAAAAGUACGAAACCACAGCGAGAUUUUUUGAAGUUUUUCCUAAAGUAAAUAUCACCGUGAUUUAUAAAAUUUUACAAAUUACUACAUUGUGCUUUGUAAAUAUAUUAUUUUACUAUUCUAUUUAGUGACAUACUUUUAAGAUAAGAUAAGAUAAAAAUAAAAUAGUAGGAUACCAAAGUGUUAUUUUUUUUAAUCACAUAAUAACAAAGUGAGAUGGGUGAAGCCACUAAUGGGUUAAUGAAGUUUUUCUAGAAAAUUAUAUAAGUUUAAAUCCUUAAUUUAAAAUUAUGUGAAAUAAGCCUGAAACUUUGGAAUGGUGAUUCAAUUUGGGAUGCAAAAGCUUUUAUAGUGAUUUGACAUAUCAUAUUGAUUUUAUGUCUAAAUAUUUUAUCUAAAUUUUAAAUGCCAUAAUGACUACAGAAUUAAAUAAAGCCGAGCUCCGUCCCAAGAGCUACAAAAGUUCACUAUUUAUUGGACCGUGUUUUUUCACACAUGGUUUUAAUUUUGGGAAAAUUUCCUGUGUGCCCCUCUAAAAGCAUGUAUUUACACGCAUGCCCCUAUAAAAAUUGAAAUAUCUUAAAUGCCCUUCUAAAUAGAGAAAACUUUCAAAAAUACCCUUCAAAACACAGUUUUGUUAAAAUCUACAGUAACAGCAACCAAAAUACCGAUUUUACCUUUUUCAUAAUUAACUUUCUAAAUGUUCCAACUAUUACUAAUGAAAGGUUAAUUUCAUUCAUACCCUCUAAACGUUCAAAAUAUUAUAAAUAUUCCUAUAAAUUUGAUUAUAUCACAAAUAUUAAUAAAAGUCAAUUCACACUGUUAUUUAGUACAUUUGCACUUCUCUAACCUUGAUUAUAAAAUUUAUCAGAUAAUCUGANNNNNNNNNGAACACGAGCCGACCCCAGCUCGCUCGUGUUCGGCUCGUUGACACUCCUAGGUGUAGGCGCUAAUGUCAAUAGCUAAAUUAAAAUUAUUUAGAUGUUUAAAUAUUAAACAACAAAUUUCAAAAAAAAGUUGCAUACCGAAAUAAAACUCGAUUAGAAGUUCAAGGAACUAGCGGUGCAAUUUAUCCUAUUUUGAUGCUCAAACUAUAAGACGUUGCUUAUACGAAAAUAAUAUAAUAUUUUAAUUAUUAUCAUAUCAUCAAUUAUAAUAUUAUUAUAUCACUUUCAAAUUAGUAAGAUAAAUUGAUUUGUAAAAUUUAAUUAUAAUAAUUUUAAAAAAAAUUGAAUUAAUAUUAUAAUAUAUUAAAAUUUGAGGCAAGUUGUGUUCUCAUGCUUUACAGAUCGUGCAAGCGACACUGAGAACUCCCCACGUAAACAAGAGGUUAUUUUGCAUGGGUGAAAAUCUAAACCAUUUCUCUUUCUUUUUUUUUUUUUUUAGAGAGAGAUAGGUAGUACGCUAUCGCUUCGUUUAUUUCAAUUAGAAAUAAACUUAGCUGAAAAUGUGAAUCAAUUAGAAUUCGAAAUUGUGACCUCGGGUACUAACAUCUAAGCCUUUUGUCACUUGCUCAGGGGACGGUCGAUAUCUAAAAACAUUUCUUAAUUUCCAAAUUUAGAGGAAAAAAUAAAAAUAAAAACCCAUAAAUAUUAUAAUUGCCUUUUUAAAUGUUCCGACUAUUACUAAUGAAGGGUUAAUUUCAUUCAUACCCCUCUAAACGUUCAAAAUAUUAUAAAUAUCCCUAUAAAUCACAAAUAUCCUUAUAAAUACUAUCUUAUAAAUAUAUUCUCGUUGUUAAUUUUUAUCUCUCUACCAAAGAUCUAUUUAAUUUAGAUAGGUUAUCAUGAAUUAGUGAAAAUGUUCAUUUUAUUCUGAAUUUUUUAAAAUUUUUUGAAAGAGCACUUUAAUGUGAUGAAAUGUACAACAAAUAAACUUUCAAAACUGUCCCUCACUAGUAAUUAGUUUAGAUAAUGAUACAAGUAUUCAAUUUAAAUACUAUUAAAAUAUUAAUAAAAGUCAAUUCACACUGUUAUUUAGUACAUUUGCACUUCUCUAACCUUGAUUAUAAAAUUUAUCAGAUAAUCUGAGUUUUUUUUAAAAAAAUUUGUAAACAAUGCUAAAUCGUUUUAUUGUAAUUUCAAAUCUAGUAAGUAAUUUUAUGCUUUAUAAUUAAUGAUAAACUUUGUAAUUUUUCAGCUAUUUAUUAUUUUCUCUCUUCAUUUUAAAAAAUUUAGAAAUAUUUAAUAAUAUUGGGUAAGAUAAAAAUAUUAUUCUUUUAGAAUAUAUAAUUCUUACAGAAAUCCAUGUGAAAAUAUAACUAAAUAACUUUUAAAUUUGUAAAACUUUUAAAUUUAUGAGGUAUUUACAAAAGUUAAAAUUAUUACUAAUAAUUAGAACAUUUAAGGGCAAUUAUGAAAAUGAUAAAAUCAAUAUUUUGAUUGUUGUUACUGUAGAUUUUAAUAAAAAUAUGUUUUGAAAGAUAUUUUUAAAAGUUUUUUAUAUUUAGAGGGGCAUUUAGAAUAUUUCAACUUUUAUAGAGGCAUCCAUGUAAAUACUUACUGUUAGAGGGGCACAUAGGAAAUUGUCCCUAAAAAAAAAUAGCCACGUGGAGAAUGCAACGUCGCUAGAAGCAAUGUUAGUCGUGCCAGUAUACUGCAAACCAAUUUUAAAAUAUAUAUUAAAAAUAAAUUUCUAUAGUACAAUAAAUUAUUUAAAUAUUUUAUAUUAUAUAUAUUAUAUCAUAUAUUAUUUGACAGUACUGAUCAUCAGACGUUACGACAAGUAUCGAAUAUAUAUUGAACAAUAUUUGGAGCAUUAGUGUGAUAUAUGAAAUCAAAAUUCCAUCACAUCCAAAAAAAAAAAAAAGGCUUGUGUCACAUAGCUAUUUAAGGAUUGAGCCAAUGGGAGCGUGCAACAUGGGGGGAAGGAAAGUUGGAUACACUUAGUAUACCAUAAAUCAACUCUAAAAUAUGAAUUAAAAUUAAGUUUCUAUAGUACAAUAAAUUAUUUAAAUAUUUUAUAUUAUAUAAAUUAUAUCAUAUAUUAUUUUACAGUAGUGAUCAUCAGAUGUUACGACGAGUAUCGAAUAUAUUUUGAACAAUAUUUGGAGCAUUAGUGUGGAUAUAUGAAAUCAAAAUUCCAUCACAUCAAGAAAAAUGGCUUGUGUCACAUAGCUAUUUAAGGAUUGAGCCAAUGGGAGCAUGCAACAUGGCCGGAAGGAACGUUGGAUACACUUAGGCUGCGUUUGGUUCAGAUAUAAGUAAAAACUGCUUGUUUCAGGAAUAGGUACAAGUUCAGAUAUAAGCAGGAACUAGACCAAUUUUACGUUUGGAUGAAAAUUGAGUUGUUCCUAAGAUAAAGGUAAAUAGCGUUUGGAUGGUUAAAUUGGAACAAGAGAAAUAAAAGUUAUAAUUUGAAAUUAAAAUUAUAUUAUCUAAUUAAUUAACAUCAAAAUAUUACUUAAAAAUAAAUUAUUAAUAAAUAAUUAUAAAUAAUNUUAAAAAAAAUUUUGUAAACAAUGCUAAAUCGUUUUAUUGUAAUUUCAAAUCUAGUAAGUAGUUUUAUGCUUUAUAAUUAAUGAUAAAACUUGUAAUUUUUCAGCUAUUUAUUAUUUUCUCUCUCCAUUUUAAAAAAAAUUUAGAAAUAUUUAAUAAUAUUGAGUAAGAUAAAAAUAUUAUUCUUUUAGAAUAUAUAAUUUUUACAGAAAUCAAUGUAAAAAUAUAACUAAAUAACUUUUAAAUUUGUAAAACUUUUAAAUUUAUGGGGUAUUUACAAAAGUUAAAAUUAGUACUAAUAAUUGGAACAUUUAAAAGGGAAAAUAUGAAAAGGGUAAAAUUGGUAUUUUGAUUGUUGUUACUGUAGAUUUUAAUGAAAAUGUGUUUUGAAGGGUAUUUUUGAAAGUUUUCUAUAUUUAGAGAUGGGAUAUUUCAAUUUUUAUAGGGGCAUCCAUGUAAAUACUUACUGUUAGAGGGGCACACAGGAAAUUGUCCUUUUAAUUUUACUCUGUGUGAAUGUAGAUGCUCUUGUGCAUUUAUUAUUUUUCUAUAAAAAUUCAACUAUUUUCUCUAGUUUUUUAAGUAUAUUUGACAUGGGAUAGUACAAUUAAAAUUGAUGCAAUUUUUUACAUAUGCAAAAAAUAAAUGUGACACAGACUAAGCAAAGAAUAAAUAUUUAACCAAAUACUAUAUGAUUUAUUCUAUUUGUAUUUUCUUUGCAUCUACGUAGCUGGGUACUGCUUAAGAAUUUAGCGUCAAAAGCCUUCUUUAUUUUGAUCAUAUGACCGAAUAAAAAGAGGAAAGGAUAAUUAACAUAUUAUUUCUGUUUGAUUCGAUGAUAUUUGCUAACUGUCAAACUACUAUGACUAUCUAUUUUGACAAAUUACCGCAACCAAAAACUAGUAUGCAUAAUACAAUUCUAUACAUGACGCUACGUGAUUAGAAAAAGUUUCCAAAAUUAAACUCUUCUAUCGUAAAAAAAAAGAAAGAAAAAAAAAACACUAUAUAUAUAGUGGCACAGUUUAAGUAGAUAAGAAGAUACUGCUGGUUAAAAUAAAAUCAAUAAACAAUAAAAUUUGGAAGGAUAAUAAUAUAGUUAUUCCGAAAAAUAAACAAACUUUAUUGGUCAAUUAAUGGCAAAGGAUAUAAUUCAAAUUCCUAAAGUUUGAAGGAUAUAUAUACAAAUACUAAACUAUAGAUACAACUACAUAAUUUCAAGACUGGACCUACUAUACUCUUACGUGUAUAGCUAUGUUUAUACUUAUUAGUUUUCGGCCAUUGAAUGAAGAAAUGUGCGGAUAAGAUGAUAGUAGUUUCUUAGGGUUGAUUGAAUGGUUAGUUGAAUAGUAUGAUCUAACGGAAAAAAAUAAUCAAAGCAAUGGAUCUAACGACCGAAUAUUUAUGAGAACAAAUGGUCUUAUACUCAUAAGAGUAUAGUAGUCAGACUCUAAUUCCAAAUAUUUGUAGUGGGCAAUGUAUGCAAAUUUUUCUAUAUCUUUUCCUAAGGAAGGAAAUAACUGUUUUGGCCAUGUGGUUUGAUUCAAUGCUUGGGGUGAAUGCUACGUUGGUUUAAUGGGUUCAGUGGCACCAUCAAAUACUUUCUUUGUGUGAGGUUCUGAUUCAUUUGCUGCAAGAACCAUUCAUUGUAACCAGUAAUAGCAAAAUGUGAGCUCAUCUUUGCAUUAUGUUGCAAGGAUUAUUUAGUGUAAUUAAGGGAUGAAUCGAGUCGGAUAUUAUCCGUCGGAUCCAGCUUGUAAAUCUUAGAUUUGUCGGAUGCGGAUUUAGAUUUGCUUAUAUGAAUUGAUUGCAGAGUGUAUCACCAUUAAGGUGCGCUUAUUUUGAUGCAGAUAUAUACAAGAUGAAAUGGUUUAAAUGAACUAAAUCCGAAUUUCCAUACGGCAUGUUAUAAAGGUAUUGUAUCAAUGAUGCAAUGUUUAAGUUGAGGGUUAUUAAGUUGUAGAUGAUUGGUAAGAUUCUGAAAUUUUGGGAACUAAAAUAUUCAUGGGUAUCAUUUACUCAAAUCCAAGUUUCCAAAGGAAUAUAUAUAUAUAUAUUUGAAAUUAUUUGCGAUGGAGAUCAAGUCAAAUUUUUCUUGACCCAAAUGUGAUCCGACCCAAAUGAUUGUAUAAUUUUUCGUAAAUACACGUAUUUACGUAUUUUGGGUUUAUGAAACAUAAAAUAUUAUGUGAAAUUACAAAAAUCUUAAUAUAUCAAUUGAUAUGUUAACAAAAAUCGGUCUAUUAAUAUUGCCACUUGUGCGCAUGAUGAAUAUAAAAAAAUAAAGAUAAAUAUAUAUUGAAUCAAUUACUGUUAAAUAUUAAAGAUUAGCCGGAAUUGAAUUUACGACCUUAAAAUAUAACAAAAAGAUUUAACUCGUUUAAUACUAAUAGUGGUAUUGCAUCUACGGGAACGGACCCAAAAAUACACAUAAACAUUCCAUUCUUGUGCAUUGUGGGUAUAAAAGACGAGACACGUUAAAUUGAUAGAUAAUGUAAAAAAAUCAAGUAUAAUGUGAGAACCUGUUAAAUGAUGUAUGAGUUUAAUCUUAUCUUUAAUAUUAUAUUAUUCAAAUGGUUGAUCAAAUAAAAAAUGAUUUAUAUAUAUGUUAACAUUUCAUUCAUGUGGAUUGUGAAUAUAAAAGACGAGAAAUGUAAAAUUAAAAUAUAGUGAAAAAGAAUCGAGUAUAAUGUUAGAACCUGCUAAAUAAUGAAUAGCUUUAAAAGUAGCUUUAAUACUGUAUUAUCCAACUGAUCAGUUAAAUAAAAUAUAGCCGAAAGAGCUAUGCUACUAUAUUUUCGAAAACACGCAAUUGGCUUCGUUCGGCAUGAUUUACAGUUUUGAAGCUAUUUAGAAACUAAAUUUUAUAAUUUUUUGAUUUCGUUUAUCUAGUAAAUAAAUAGCUUUACAAUGAACGAUUGAAAAUAAAAAUUUCAUAAAAAAACAAAAAAUAAAAUUUGAAUCAAAAUUAUUGAUCUUACUAUUGAUGACAAGUAUAAUUUUCUAUUAAAAUUUUACGUAAUUUAAAUUUUUCUAUAUUAUUGAACUUAAUAUGCCUACACAGACCUUUAAAAUAAGAAUUUAUGAAACUCUUUGAUAUUUGACAAAUAAUAUUUAAAAUUUAUAAAAUUUAAUUUAUAAAUAAACCGGCAGAAAAAUUAGAUAUCUAUUCAAAAAAUUAAUUUAAAAAAUAUAAAAAUUAUUGCACUUUCGAAAGCAUAAUAAUAUGGCUCUAGUCCAAAUAUAUAUAUAUAUAUAUAUAUAGAGAGAGAGAGAGAGAGAGAGAGAGAGAGAGUGUGAGGUUUUUAUGCUUUUGGAAGCACGGAGUCUUUCGUGCUUCUAGGUCGUUUUUCAUGUUGCAACUUUCGAAUCGUCGAUCAGCUCCAUUAAACUUGAUCUAGAGUAUUUAAAGUAUCUAGAAAAUAAAUUUUAUAAUUUUUUGAUAUCAUUUGCCUAGUAAUCGAAGGGGCUCAAAAUCAAUAAUUUUAAAGGCCGUAGUGAGCCGUUUGCAAGUUUAACGGUAUAGAAAUAUUCAAAUCACGUGUAAUUUUGAUAGAAAAUUUUUUAUACUAUAUAAAACAAGAUCAAUAUCUUUGAUCUAAAAUUUUAAUGUCAUAUUAUCACGUUUUGUAAGAUUUUUAUUUUCAACCGUUAAUUUUGAGCCCCUUUAUUCACUAGGCAAAUAAUAUCGAAAAAUCGCAUAAUUUAUUUUCUAGAUAUUUCAAAUACUCUAAAUCAAGUUUAACGGAGCCGAUCGACGAUUCGAAUGUCGUAACAUAGAAAAUGACCUGAAAGUACAGAAGACUUCGUGCUUCCAGAAGCAUAGUAGCCUCACUCUCUCUCUCUCUCUCUCUCUCUCUCUCUCUCUCUCUCUCUCUCUCUCUCUAUAUAUAUAUAUAUAUAUAUAUAUAUAUAUUAACAUGUCCCUUAUAGUCUCCAAAAUGACUAAAAUUGGUAAGCCUAAUUUUUGUCGGUAGAAACAGAUGAUUGGACUAAUGCGAUUCCAUUUUGAAGUGAAAGAGAGUCAUAAUUGAGAAUAAUCAUUGCACUUCUCAUUUCACAUGGCAUAUUACAUCCCAUUAUUCAAAAAUUUAUAUUUUUUUAAAAAGGUUUUACUACUAAAGAUUAAUAAGAUAAAUGAGUAUAUUUAAAUCUUUGAAAGAGUAGAUUACAAGAUUUACACUCAUGUUAAGUCUAUAAUAACAUUACUCUGAAUCAAAUAUUAAAAAUUUUUAUGCCAAUAGUCUCACAUCAAAUAAAUAUAAGAAAGUACAGAAUUGAUAUAUAUAUAUAUAUAUAUAUAUAUAUAUAUAUAUAUAUAUAUAUAUAUAUUCAAAAGGGCAAAGCUGACUAAUGGGCUCGAUCUUUCUCGUAAUCAUUCAUAUAAAGUAAAGACAGGCCUCGCGUCAGAGCGCUUAUCGGCGGCUUGCAACAUCACAUCUGGAACGACCGAUCUAUGAAUAUAGAGCUUUCCGCGUAUAAAUAAAAAGAAGUAAGAUAAGUAAGAAUAAGAUUUGGAUUUUGAAAGGAUUUUUAGCCUAGAUAAAGAAUUGGAACUGAAAGAGUCUUUCGCUCAUGCAUUUCCUUCAGGCAGGAAAUAGGUGUCGAAAGCUCAUAACGAUCGCUAUUCAAUUAUGCUGCUACACAGAAAGGUGUGAUUAGUCAUAGUCAAUGUAUUUGAAGCGUGAAUGGUGUAUUUUAUACAGGGCCAAGUCGUCCAUCAAUUGAAGAUUAUAGGCGCAUUUCGACGAGCGAAUCAUUUCGUUUAUAUGAUGCAGUCGUCGAAUAGCUUUUUUAUUAUUAAAAUGAUUCAAUAAAGAGAAUACAAUAAACCUAUUCUAUUGUAUUGAAAUGUCAAUUCGUGAAUAAAUAAGACAGGCUUAGCUACCUACAGUAAGUUGAGAGGAAGCAUAAGCUAAGCAGCCAAAGUCGAGUAGGAAGCAAAGGAAGUUGUNUAUAUAUAUAUAUAUAUAUAUAUAUAUAUAUAUAUAUAUAUAUAUAUAUAUAUAUAUGGGUAUAGACUAUAAAACUUAGUCCCUGUUUAGAUAUAUAAAUAUCUUAUUUGUAUUCAAUAAAUGAAAAGUAUGAUCAAAUAGCUAGAUAUAAUACAAUGUUAGUGGAUGUUAGAGCUUCAUCUCGUAGGCAAAAUAUACUGUCCGAUCAAAUCACAUAUGCUAAGACCUUUUAAGAAGAAAAAACAAAAUUUCGUACCUUCCAAUAACAUAUUAAAUUUUUUAUACUGAAUAAAUUAAUUAUCGUUGGAUAAUUUAUUCUGAUAUCCAUACAAGGCCACUUGAAUGCAUGAAUAUCUUCUUCCGUAUAUCUAUUUGACUUAUUUAAGAAAUUUAUACAGUUGAAUAAUAAGGAGUGCGCUCAAAUGUUUAAAAUGAAAUAUCAUAUUCGGUCUCCAAAUUAUUUUUUUUCAAAAUAAGAUAAGAUAUAUCGUGGAUGAAAUAUGCUAUCCAACAAAUUAUGCAUAGCAAAAUUUUCGAAGAAGCAAAAAUGAAACUUUUUAUUUAGAAUUAUAGUAAAAAAUUUUCAUACAAAAUAAGUUAUUUUUAGAUAACUUAUUCUAAUAUCCAAACAAAGCCAUGAGCUUUUAAAUUGUAUGGUUUUAUUGGAUAUGUCAUACUCUUUGCGACAUGCGGGUUUAGGUUGGAUCAAAACUCCCUAACACCUAACAUGCCCUUAGAUUAUAUUGUUUGAGAAGUUAACUUCAGAUAUAUAGAUUUGGAAUUUGAAGCGAUUAGAUUCUUUAAGAGAUCUGGUGAUCCUUCUGAUUAUUAUGAUGAGAAUAAUUUUUUCACUUUCUUAGUGAUUUAUAAACUAUAAUCUAGUUAAUUUAAAUCCAAAAUUGGGCCCUAGCUUGCUUGUUGUGUAGAAACCAAAUGGACCGCAAUGGAGCCUAUAGUUGUCGCUUUGGGCUUUUUACAUGAUGAGCAUUUCAUAGCCCAUAAUUAUAAUUUGAAAUUUGCAGAAAAAAUUAUGUCUUUAACAGUACUAAUUUUAUUGGCCCAAUUUUUUAAUCUUUCCAAAGAAUUAGAAAUUGUCCAAAAAAUUAUGAGUUUUAAAAAGGACUUUUUUUUUUUUUCCUGUCAGUUUGGCCCAAUUUUAAAUUAUUUUUUAUGAUGGGACAUCUGGAUUGACGAUCGGCUAUAUUAAACAUGAUCUACACUAUUAAAAAUAUCUGAAAUUUAUUAUUAAGAUUUUUUAAUAUUAUUUAUUUUUAAAAUAAAAAACCUCUAAAUGAACAACUGACUCAUAAAAUAAGUAAAUAAUAAUAAUAGGCUUAAUUUCGUAUUAUAGAUACUCACUUGCUUUAAAUAGUAAAAAAAAAAAAUUUCGAUCAAAAUUUUACUAGAUUUGAAUUUUUUGUACCGUUGAACUUACAGAUACAUUACAUCGGCCAUCAAAAUUAUCAAGUUUGUGAUCUUGUAAUUGCUAAUUAGAUGAUGUUAAAAAAAUAUGAAAUUUGAUUUCUAAAUAUUUUCAACAGUAUAGAUUAUAUCUAAUUGUGCUGAUCAUCAAUUUCAAUAUCUAAUCAUAGAAAACAGUUUGGUAAAACGGAGGCGUCAGUACCACUAAUAGUAUACAAAUUGGACUUCUUCAAAAAAUAACUCCAUCUAUUGGCAGAGGGAAAAGAUUAGGUCAAAAAAAGCAUUUUUAAUCUUCGUUAAUCUUUCUCUGUUCACGCUAUUUGGGAAAAGAGAAAGAUGAUGUAUGUAGACGUAGAGCACCAAAUACGGUGGUGCCGUAAACGAGAUGCAUGGGUUCGAGCGUGACCCGUCACCCGAGAAGGCCACGUCCCAAUCAAGUGUGGUGGUCCGUCGCAUGUCUAAAACGAUUCGAAUCCAAAUUUCUUAUUCCGUUUCUCCCAACCUCUUUUUUUUUUUUUCUUUUAUUUUUUUUAUUGCUGAUACUUGAGAAAAAAAAACUCGUCUCAGACUCGAAAAUAAACCGAGUAAAUUUUUUAGUGACUCUGCUAAAAAUGCCUAUGUUUUAAAUUUUAUACAUACUCCAAUUUUUUAACUUUAUAAGUGAUUGAAAUAUCUAGUAUUAUUAUAUUAUAUAUAUAUUUUUUAUAUAACUUAUUUUUAGGGUAAACUUUAAAUAUUAUCUUCAUGAUUUUGUACUUUCUCACUUUAAUAUCCUAUAGUUUAAAAUGUAUCAAUUUAAUAUUAUAUGGUUUUAUUUAUUUAUUUUUCUUCAGUUUAUUCGUUAAUAUUUCGUUAAAUUAUAUACAAAAAAUUUCAAGUACACUAUCUAGAUUUAUCGAAUAUUCACUUUAUUAACUUUUAGUUUUAACUUUGUCAAUAAUUUAACGAAAAAAAAUUAGUAAAGAAAAUAAUAAAAAAAAAGAAAUCACGAGAUAUUAAAUUAAUAUAUUUUAAAUCGCAAGAUAAUAAAAUAAAAAAAAUAUGAAAUCAUAGGGAUGAUAUUUAAAAGUUUUUCUUAUUUCUAUUAUACUACAGUCUACUUUAUAGACAUUGUUUCACUUCUUACACUAUAUUAUUAUUAUUUUUUUCCAAAGGAAACAUUCCACUAUUCCUUUUCACUACAACAAAAACGAUCUAUAGCGACACUUUUAAAUGUAGGUACAUGUCAAAAAAGUGCUGCUAACUAAAAUUACCGACACUUUUAAAAAGUGUUGCUAUAUAUGGGGUCGCUAGGUAUAUAGUGAUAAUUAAAGAGUGUCGCUAUAAUCUAAAAGAGUGCUGCUAAUUUACCAACACUUAUUUAAGCAUUUAGCAACCUUCGAAACUCUAUCUCGUUGGCUGCGGUGGUGGAGGAGGAAGACAGGAAAGGCUUUUCGUCUAGAAUUUCAGUGGAUUGAGUGAAGAGAGAAGAAAAGAUGGUAAUUGAUUUUUCUUUUUUUUUUCUUUUCUGUUUGUAAUCGGGCCAAAUGGACUGGGUGUGGUGGGUUGAGUAGAGUAAUCUUUUAUUUUUGGUUGGAUUGGGCUUUAUAUUUAGGCAUUAGUAGAUAUUUUUUUAAGUUUUAGGAUAAUGGGACACAUACUCAAAAGUGUCCCAAACAUGUGUCCCUAUAACCUAAUUCUGUUGUAGUGUUUAUCAAUUCCUACAUUAUAAACAAUAAAACACCUUUAUAUAUAUAAUUGUUACACUAUAAAA
This 64891-nucleotide long non-coding RNA is filed under the name Ananas comosus (pineapple). RNAcentral's name for it is "long non-coding RNA (ACOM_LNC023013)". The record is from RNAcentral. Lineage: Eukaryota; Viridiplantae; Streptophyta; Magnoliopsida; Poales; Bromeliaceae.